UUAAACCUAGGCUGUAUACACUUCUUUGUUUAGGAAGUAGUUGUUUAUAAACAAUCUCAUUUCAAAAAUUACAUAAAAUACAAAGGUGUGUAAUUAACACUUUGGCCGUAUGCAUGGUAGGAUUGGAAUAAUUUUUACUAGAUUAUUUAUAUUACAUAAGGUUAAGACUGGAAAUAGUUGUCUAUGUAAAAUAUGUGGCAUUGAAGUGGGCAUGAUUGAGAUCAACGCAGCAGGCAGUAUAAUGCCUCAAAAUAAAAAAAAGUGUUUUUUAAAAAAACCACUAAAAUACUUUAAAUAUAAAGCUUGUAAUAUGGAUAAUUUCAUUAGCUUUAAAAGUUUUGAUGUACUUCUCUUAGGAUUCUAUUUUAUUUUUAGAAAAACAUAGGAUUCUGGGAUAUUUUCUUUGCUAUUUUUCUUUCCUAAGGUGGCGUUUAAAAAGAACACCACCUGUCAGGAGCUGAGAUGAUUUUGGUUAAAAAUGAUAGGCUUGGGAAUUUUUAAAUUUAUCUCCAGCCUUUGAAUAUUUUAAGAGUAUUCAAGGGGAGAAGCUUUAAAAAUCAUUUUAUAUGCCUCUAUUGUACAGCUAGUCUACUUUUUUCCCUAUUAUGUGUAAGGAAAAUGCUGCUGCUGUUAUUAUUAUUAUUAUUAUUAUUAUUAUUAUUAUUUGUCUUUUGACACAGGGUCUUGCUAUGCAGUUCAGACUGGCCUUGAGCUCACUUUGUAGCCCAGUUUUUGACCUCUGCACUGAAGAAAGCUCAGAUGAAUAUGGUACUGUAAGAGCAAAAUAUUAAUUAAAAUACUCAACAGCAGCUCUUCUUGAAAGCUGCUCCGAUUUGUGUCUUUGUAAUUAAAAUAGCCAAAAUCACACAAGGAAAUGUUUGAGAAGAUGGAAAUGCUAAUUACCCUGAUUUGAUCAUCAGACACCAUAUACUCAGUGUGAUUGAAAUACAUGGUGAAUACUUAAAUUAAAAAAUAAAAGUUACAGCAAAUGACUCAUUGUCUUUAAUUUUGAGAUAGGGUCUCACUGUAUAGCUGCAGGGUGGGGGAGAUACAGAUACAUAAUUUCAUUAUCCAGUUAAUGACUAUAUGCUUCAUGAAACAUUAUUGUUGCUUGAAUUUGUUCAAAACAGUCUUAUACAACAUGAUAUUGUAAAAAAUAUUUGGGACUUUCCUAUUGGCUCACAAUGACAACACAGUGAUGGCACUAAUUUUCUCGUUAUUGCAUUUUGUGCAGUAACUGUUUUCACUGGAAACAUUCUCAGUUCCUGAAAUCUGGUGAUUCAGACUGCGUGCACACGUGGUGAUACCUCUCACAUAUGUGCUUGCUAAUUCUUUGGAGAAGACAGGAAAGAGGGAAAAAUUGCUCAGCAGUGACAUUUGUUUCUCCAAACUGAAUGGCUUUGCUCAAGUUUGCUUUUCGUUACUCUACAUGUUGAAGACCCCACGUGUUGAUUUGGUUUAGGAAAAGUAGAAAAGCUGUGAUAUGAUUGAUGCAAGCAGCAGGAUUAAUACUUUCCUCUGUGAACAGGUUAAUUUGUCCUCUGUAGAUUUUUUUUUAAGAUUUAUUGGAGAAAAGAAAUAGAAAAAAGAAAUGAGAAAUAGGACUAGCUCCUGAGAGAUAGGAGGAAUCUUCAGUGGGUUGCCAAUGAGCCCAUCUCUCAAAGGAUGCUUUAUCAUAGAGCAGUCAUGAAGUAGGUACAAUAUGGGACAAAAUUAUGAUUAAUAAGAUUAUAAAUAUAGUUGCUUAGGUAAUAUUAAUAAGAGUAUAUGAAAGACAUCAUUAACCUGUAAUCCCAGUUUUAGUUGUCUACUGGGUGGGAGAGGAUGGCCCACCCUAAUGAGAAUCUCAAAAGUGGUACCAAUAAUCUCAAGCUUCUGUUUCCCCCUUAGGGAAGUCUGUAAAUUGGGCCAUUGUGAUUUUAAUCUUCUUCAGAUGCACCACAGUCACAGUUUUGAUGUGGUCUCAUUUUGGGCAACUGACUUCUUAGAGGGUCCAGCCCUGUCUGACUGCCCAUAAGAUUUCUAUGUAAUUUAGCUGUCUGUAAUGUUCCGUUCUCUAAAGAGCUAUCCCUAACUGCAGUUAGGGGAGAAGGGGGAUAGUUUCCAUCCAGCUGCUUUGAGCUGAGUAGGAUAUUACAGAGGGAGCAGUUUAAUUAUUAUAAUCUCCGAAUAUCAAGCACUUUGAUAUAAAAGUAUACCCAGAGGUUGUUACUUCUUACCAAAAAUUUUUUCCCCUGUGUUUUUGAGACAGGGUUUCACUAUGAAUUUUGGGGUAGCCUCAAACUUAAAACGAUCCUCCUGCCUCAGCCUUCUGAGUGUUGAUAUUACAGGUGUGCACCACCAUACCCGGCUUAUGGUUGUUUUAGUGAUAGAAUCCCUGCAGAAUGUUAACAGGCAACAAUUACAUAGUUUUACUGAGAAAAUUUGAGAUCAAGAGCCACACACAGUGUUUCAGCGUGACAAUCAUGAUACUAUCUUUGAAACACAUUUAAAAGUCUGAGUAUAGGGUAACCUUUUUAGUCAGUCAUCUCCAUCUAUACAUAAAGAAGCUCUCACCUGAUUUGUUAUCUUUUAAUAGGAUGUCAUAGAGGAAGCAUGUGACAUUGUCUGGACUGCUCCUUGCUUGUCUAAGUGUCGUGACACAUAUAUAACAUACAGAUCACAUCAAAAGAAACUGUCAUUUGACCAGUGAUCUCAUGCUGGCUUGACGUGUACUAUCACAGGUAGCUCCUUCAAAAGACCUUAGUGGGCCCUCUAAGACGAUAAAGGGAAAUACUGUAACUCCCACCCUACUAGAUACCCAGUGCACUGCGUUUGUGUUGUCCGAAGUUGAAGAAUGAAUUCGAAGGACCAACAGAGGUUAAGAGUAGGAGAACUUACUGAGCAAAUGAAAAAAAAAAAAAAUCUUAACUAGACCUAGGCAUGGUGACACACACCUUUUUUUCCUUUCUAGUUAAGGUUUUAAACUGUGUCAGCCAGACCUACACUUCCCAGAAUUUCCUCUUCUCCUUGGCGCUGUCAGAUUAAAUUUAAUCACAGCAGAAGUUUGUAUGUGGUUUGUGGAAUAAGUAGAGCUGAAGCUCUACUCCAAAGGUUGUCGCUGAUUCCUGGUGGGGAGUGGACACAAAGUAUGGGCAGAAUUCCCGCCUGUCUUCAGUCACUCCUGUCCCCCUUCACCUUCCCGACCACCAUGCCAAGCGGUCACCAGGUCUCCACUGGAAACUUUGGUAGCAGCUGCACACUGUCAGCUGCCGACCAGCCCCCUGCACAGAUUUCACUGCAGCAGCCUGACAUUCUCACGCUCAUUAGGGACUCAUCUCUGGUCCUUGGUGGACCUUUGAACUUGCCUAGUUUGUCCCACAGUUGAACCAGUUUUAAUAUUUAUGAUAAAUUUCUUUUUUUUUUUUAGGUUUUUUGCUUUGGUUUUGGUUUUUGGUUUUUGGUUUUUGAGAUAGGAUCUUGCUUUGUAGCAGAGGUUGGUUUUAUAUUUUGAUCCUCCUACCUCCCAAGCACUGGGAUUACAGGCAUGCACCACCACACCAGGCUCCAUAGAUUGUUUAUUUAUUAAUACUCAUAAUGACAUUGGUUCCUGAUACACCAAGAUUAUGGCAUGUGACAAAAUUAUUACAUGCCUUAUGUAUGACUGAAUUGUCUCUACGGAGAAUAUAUUAAAUCCAUCAAACUUCUUCCAUACCAGUACCAGCCAUAGAAAAUGAAAUUUGCAUGAGAAUUUUACUCUUAUUUAUAACUUGGAUUUCACAGUAGUGUGUUAACUAGAAUGAGCAAACUUGAGUAACCUCUUUCCCACCCCUGCCUUUCUGGGGAAAUGGAACAUAGUAGUCGUUGACCAUCGUGAUCAACAGCAGCCUCGCCAAGAUGGGAGUGAGUCUUCACAAAGACACAAAAAAGAGGUCAGGAAAUAUGUGAUCAGUAAUCAGAAAACUUGAAAGCUCAGAUUGUCAUGAUAGUCAGAGCUAUAAAUCUGCCAGUGAAGCUGCCUUGAGACCAGUCUGCACUCAGAUUGUCACAUUAAAAUAGCUGAAGGUGUCCUGACUGCCUGUCGUCUAACAGGAACUUUGCCCACGUCACUUUCUUACCGAAGCUGUGUUAUGUGGGCCAGUUCCAUUCUCUAGAGGAUUAAGGGCUGAUUUCAUCAAAAAGGAUGAAAAGUGAACAAAAUCUUUUACCAGUAUGAAAGGAAUAAAUGAAUUUUUAUGAUUCACCUUUUUGAAACUGAGGUGCAACCGCAUAGCAUACUGCUGUGAUUUGAGUUGUUGACCCAGAUGAUUGGCUGACAAAUCAUUAAGGUAAAGCCUUGCAGGAUAACCUGAGCUCAGCGGUGCUGGACAGAAAUCCAGUAUUCUAACACACCAGGUCUUUCCCCGAAAUUCACAUAUAAUGACUUUAUUCUUUGUGAUGUUAGCUCCCUCUGUGGAACAUCACUAAGAUUGCAGCUCAGUUUUUCAGUAAUUUGGCAAAGCCAUUGAAAUAUUAUCUUCAUUAUAAAAUUUUCUUGUAAAAUUUUAUUUUAUAUUCUAAUCACUCCCACAUUGAUUUUUUAUAGUAUAAAUGUUAUCUUUAUAAAAGUAUCUUAUUUUUGGUGUGGUUGCAUGUGCUAUGAUCACAGCACCUGAGAGGCUGAGGCAGGAAGAUUACCAGUUUGAGUCUCACCUGGGCAACUUAGUGAGACCCUGGCUCAAAUUUUUUAAAAACCUGGAAUGUAGCUUAAUGUAAAGGCCCUAAGUUCGUUCCCUAACACUGGGAAAAAUAAUAAAUGUACCUUACUUUGUAUAUUUUAGUGCUUUUUUUUUUUAUACCAGGAAUCGAAUUCAGGGCCUUGUGCUUGCCAGGCAGGUGCUGUGCCACUGAGCUACAUCCUCAACCCUAUUCCAGGUUUUAGUAGCAAAUACAGAAUGAAAAUGUCCUCUGUGUGAUUUCUAUGUGUGUUUCCCCACCCUCCUUGCCCCGGCUUUCUGAGACAGGAUUUCACUAAGCAGUGUGGCCUGGCCUUGAACUCGUUUUAUAAUCUACGCUGACCACACACAGCAAUCCUCCUGCCUCAGCCUUCCUAGUGCUGGGACUACCCUCAUGCAACACCAUAUCUGGCUCCAUGUGAUUUCUAAAUGUUUAAGUCUUUUUUGUCUUAGAUGAGAAGAAGUAGGACAAAAGCAUAUCAGAAGAUUUGGGAGGAAAAAAACAUUUUGAAGUUGAAGUGGAUCUUAUAUAUCAUAUUUGAAAUUAUUCUUUUGAUAUUUUUCAGCAUGUUUCACUAUUGAGUUGGGUGGAAAAAUACUAACUAACUAUUAUUUUGUCUCAUGGAGAAGGAAAAAACAAAAUUUCCUGAUAGUAGAAAGCACAAAGAGAAAUAUCUUGGUAGGGUCCAAAAAAGAAAAUAGAAGAAGCCAUGUGUGGUAGUGCAUCCUGGUAAUGCCAGUACACUGGGAAACUGAAGCAAGAGGGUCACACUUCAAGCCCAGCUCCUUAGCAAGAUCUUGUCUUAAAAAAGAGCUAGUGAGCUUACCGUAAAGCCUUUGAAUGUCAUCUCCAGCACCACACCAAAAAAAAAAAAAAGUUUCAACUGUGUAGUUUCUGUGAACUUACGCUCUUGUAGUUCUGCAGCAUUUUUAGGUAUACUGGAAGCUGAGAAACGGAGUGGCACUCAGAGAAUUGGAGGCACCAACCUUUAUUACGCCAGGGGCCCAGAGGAGUUUGGGAGAGGACAGGAUACUGUGAAGCUGUUUGCUAAUCAGGUUAGGGUGCAGCUGGUACAGGAAGAGGAGGAGGAGGGUUGUCAGCAGGGGCGAUCAGAGUCAAAAAGUUUCGUUUUCCCCAGAGUAGGAACAUCCUUUAUUAUCAAAUUCUGCUACCCUUUCCCUGUGUAGAAGUGUGACUGCUUCUUUCACCAUUACUUUCCUUAACCCAUUAUGUAUUAAAUAAUAAACUGAAUAAUUAACUCUUUUAAGAAGUUUUUCUUGCUAUAAUGUAAGCUCCAAGAGGACAUCCAGUGUGGAAUUUAGCAACAGGAGCAAACUUGUGUCAGCCACAGAGCUAGGGAGUAACACAGAACAAGGAGGCUGGGAAAGAGCUAAGGGCCACACAUGCUCCCUGCAUAUCCCACUUUAGCUGUUUUCUCUUUAUGUGAUUUGAAGGACACUGUCAGGAUCACACAGGUAAUGGCUGAUUGCUUGCAGUAUGAGCCAUGAAACCCAGGCCCUCAAGCUUGCUAGGCAAGUGCUCCACUAACGAGCCACAUUCCCAGCCCAUGAGUGGGUUUUCAGGCAGUUUUGUAGGAUACUUAUCUUUGAGCUCUUUGUUACUACAGUGCAUCUUUAUUAGUCUGUUGGAAUACAGCUUGUACAGUGCGGUAAUGCAAAGAAAUCAAGGAUACUUAUACUUAUGAAUUUGAUAUUGGACAGUUGUUUAAAGGAAUAAAUGCUUAUUAAUAUAACAAAUCCUGGAGCUCGAGUGGCGCAAGCGGUUAACAUUCGGUACUUACAUAACAAGUCCAUCUAUUAUUAUUGUUUUGGCACUGAAGAUUGAACUUAGGGCCGUGUGCAUGGACUAUUUCAGUGCUCUACCACUGAGCUAUGUCCCUACCCUCUUUUAUUUUUUUGUUGCUGUUUUUUGAGACAGGAUUUUCACUGUGUUGUUCAGGCUGCCCUCAAACCCAUAGUGAUCCUUCUGAGUCAGUGCUAGGAUUACAAGGCUAUACCACCAUGCCUGGCCCCUUUUUAUUUUUUGAAAUGGUCUCACUUGCUGUGAUUAGCCUCAGCGUUUUUUGAGUUGUCAGGAUUAUAGGCAUAUGUCUCCAUGCCUGGCUCUCUUGUUAUCUGUAGAGCAUGUGGGAUAUCCUUGAAAUGGUGAUAUUGUUUUCAUAUUCAAUAAAAGCUGUAAAACAGUAUAUAACAAUAUAUACAUAUUUUUCUAGGGGGUUUUUACAAUUUUUAUAUUUAUUUAUUUAGGUUUUUUUUUUUUUUUUUUUUUUUUUUGCGACAAGUCUCACUAAAUAGUGUAGGCUGCCCUUGAAUUUAUUUAUGUAUUGAAGGCUUGCCUCGAAUUCAUGAUGAUCCUCCUGCUUCAGCUUCCAGAGUACUAGGAUUACAGAUGCUCACUGCCAUGCCUGGCCCUUUUGUUUUUGAGACAGAGUUUUUCUGUGUAGUUUAAACUGGCCUUGAACUCUUCCCUCAGCCUCCUGAGUUCUAGAAUUUCAGGUGUGUGCCAUCAUGCCUGGAAGUAAUUAAUAUUAAUUAAUGUUUUGGAUUUUGGUUUCAUCAUGCAGGCUGGCCUCCAACUCACAGCAGUCCUCCUACCUUACCCUCUUGAGCCCUUGGAUUAUAGGACUGUGGCAUCACUCCUGGCUUUAAUUUUUUAAAUCAGUUACCUCCUCACAGUCAUUAAGAGUAAAAUCCUGUCUGCUUCUACUAGUCUCUGGGAGAAAUCUCUGACAUCCGAUCAUGCGCUGCCCACACACACACCCCUGCUAUCCCGCCAAGGCCAUAGGUUCACUCUGGAAGACAGAAGGCAGUGUAUAGCAGGAGUAGGAGCUUUGGGCAUCUGAACAGUUUCUUCAUAUAACUUUCUAUCCUCUGGACUUCUCUGAAUCGAUCACCUAUAUACUGGUUCCAUUUAAUUAUGAACUGUUGCAGUGCACAUCCAAUUUUCUAACUCAGUUUAUCAGAUAAUACCCAGCUUCUGGGCAACUCAGGUUACGUGGUAACCUGGUAUCCCAUGGUCAAGCGUUCAGUUUCCAUUAAAGGCCAAGAGCAGGCCAGACGCAAUUUUUCAAAGGGAAAGAAGUUGUCUGCAGAUGACAGCAGAGCCUUACUCCAAAAUCCCAAUAUCUCUACUGUAGUUCACAUAUGGGGGCCUGCCAGAGACUCCAAACAGCAGCGCUCUCUGCCCCUGACACUUCAGGUUCUGUUGGAUCUGCUGGAUCAUUUGGCCCCAGUGGAAGAGCAGCCUGCUCCUGUUUCAGAGCCUUCUCUUGUUCUAGGGUCCACUCAAAACUCACAGUUUUCUGAUUCCUUCUGCAAAUAGUCUUGAGUGAAACACCUAAGUGAGGAAAGUGUUGCUUCCAAAAUCCAAAAUAGGCCCAUUAGUGUUAUGCCUAUUUUGGCCAUAGGGGGAGCCAGGUGAAACAUCUUUUACCUUAGAAGGGAUAGCCUUAUGUGCCCCACACCACUAGAAAUGUCACUGAGAUAGAAGGACCUUGAGUUUCAUUUGGGUUUGUUUCCCAUCUUCUGGUUCACAAAUACUUUAUUAAGAAAUGCUUCCCUCCUGCUCCCUCUGGCUUACUUAUCAUCAGUGUAAGGGACUAGGGAGAUAAAGGUGAUCAAGAUGCCUUCGAACUAAAUUGUGAUACAGGUCUGAAGAGUUCAUAUAAACCUGAAGUAAGACAAUACUGCUGGCUUUAUCAGCUAAAAGCAAACAGUCUUCAGCGGACUUACUGGAUAGAUACGGUAAAAGUGGCAUUUGUCUUCUUUUAGCUGCAUACCAAGUACCAGGAGAUGAGUUAAUGUGCUCAAGCAAGGAAAACACAUCUGGUACAGCAGCUGCAAUCCGAGUUACCACUGGGCUCACUUUAUGGUGAUCUCGCGUCACUCGCCAAGACCUGUCUGGACAGGCAGAUUGGGAGAAUUAAAUGGAGAUGUGGAAACCACCACCCCUUGAUAGUGCCAGUGCCUCCGGGGAUACAGUAAUGCUUUCUGUUUACUAUUUUACCCAAUAAAGGGAACUGUAAUGGCUUCCGUUUGACCAUUCCAACUAUAAUCAGUCUCACAGUACAGGUUAAGGAACCAACAUGAAGAUUCUGAGUACCGAGUUUACCUGUCUUAGUUAUAUAUCCUGGAAGAGGGGAAAUGACUACAAAAUGGGUUUGAGGAGCUCUUGGACCCACUGUGAAUCUGACCUUUGCCAAAACUAUGUUGAUCACCUGGCUUCACAGGCCCCUUCCCUCACCGGAAGGCCACAGUGAGGUUUUAGAUCCCCUGGAAUCAGUGAUAGUUCAGAGCCAGUGUCCAGUAGCCCUAGGAAUGUCUGAUAAUUUCCCUUCCUCAAAUGUAGUUCCCAGGUAAAAGGCCUUUAGGUCCCUUUGGGGAAGGAUAGGAGAAAGAUUGUAUAGAUUUUUGGUAGUGCACAAAGGUACCCCAUCAAGGGGACCUUGCUUCUCCUUCAUUCAAAGGGUUCUAGGUCUAUAAACAAGCUCAACUCUGGGAAUUAGCUGAGAGGUUGUGAUUCUGUUACUGUGAUUUGAAGUAGGUUUCUGUUCAUUUGCCCUUAAUUUUUUUUUUUUUAAGAUUAUAUAAAUCUAGUAAAAAUUCAGUAGGCCUUGUGUCUGUUUCACCUUUGGGAAUACUGUGGCUGAUUGGCCACUGCCAUAGACCAAUUCUGAUCACUAUUCUGCUUUUGCUGUCCAUUUUGGUAAGUGCAAGCACUUUGCCUUUGGCAGCUAAGUGCUGCCCCUUGACCUGUGCCACUCAGGAUCCAGCCAUGCCCAUUGCCCUUAAGUUUCCAACUGAGUUAACUGUGGUCCCCACUGUAAGGCCUGGCAUGGAGAGAAGAGCAGCCACAGGGAUCUUCGGGGAUGCCAGAGCUCCACUCACGAACCUGUUUUGCAAGGUGUUAGUGAAGAGUACAUUUUCUGGAUUAUCCCAGUGGGGCAGGCCAGGUUUAACAUGACAGAUCCACUCCAGUAUUCCCAUUUGCCUUAGCCUUUGAAUCCCCUCAUCAACAGUAAACCAAAGAAUUUUAGGUACCUCUAACUCAUUCACAGUGGACCACCUUUUGAUCCAUUCUUCUGUCAACCAGCCAAAUAAACUGUUAACACCUUUGUUCACUCCACGAACUGCCACAUUAAAUUCAACAUCUCUACUUAUUGGACAAACUCAGAAACUCAUUCUGGGAACAGCAGAUCUCCUGACCUUACCCUUAGGACCUUCUGUGAUUUGAGCCUGGCUUUAGGCCUAGAGGCAAAAAUGUGUGUUGAUCUUGAGGGGUGUCAGUAUUAUCAUGCUUGGUCAACACUGGGUUAAUUUCCUCAGGUAUAGGAGAGGCCAGUACCUCAGGGGCCAGGACGCCUGACACUGUGGGUGGGGACAUCUCUUCAUCUGGCAAAAUACUGUAAUCUCAUGAGCUUCUACAAGCUCAGCCUCCUCAGCUUCAUCAGGAUGUCCUCAGACAUCUCCCUCCCGAUUUAUGGGAUGCCAUUCUUUUCCAAUCAAUGUUCUCCCCUUACUUAAAAUACCUUUCAAGGCUGAGCAUUAAACUUACACUGUAUUUCAGCCAAGCAUAUUAUGAGGGCUUGUGUCUGGAUUUUUGCAGUAGGCUCUGGGACUAAAGGGUCUUUCAUAACAUAUUCAUUAACUUUUAGAUGCUAGUGCAUACCUGUAAUUCCAGUACCCAGGAGGCUGAGGCAGGGAGCCCCAUUGCCAAGUUAAGGCCAGUCUGGGCUACAUUAUGAGUUCAAGGUCAGCCUGAACUGCACAGUGAGACUCUAACUCAAAAAAAAAAAUCCUUUUGGGUCUGAAGCUGAGAAAUUGAGUCUUUGAGUUUCUUAUUUUCCUUUAUGAAUUUGCUUUCACAGUUAAGACUUUUACUGUGCGUUUUGAGCUCGAGUUCGUCCAGAGAUGCUAAGAGCUACUAGCCAGCAUCAUAUUGCCCACUCUGCCAGAAAUGCUCAGAAGUAUAAUAUAUAGAGUGGCUAAUUCCUCAUAAGUGGUAAAUUAGGAUAAUCAAAUGUAUACCUACAUUGCAUAUUGCUUCAGACAGUUCACACCAAGGCUAUCAGUAUUCCCUGCUGUGUCACAAGGAGAGACCAUGGUGUCUCACCAAAUUAGAGAGCAAACUUCAGGAACCACUAACACCAUUAAGAAUUCUAUCUUUACAGUUCUGUUUUCUCUAGAGCCAGUCUUGGUAGCAAAAACUUUGUCAGUGCUCAGAGAAGCAGAUUUAAUGUGAGAUACAUAAAUACAAGGCCGGCCUACAGUGGCUGCCCACAGAGUCAGCCGUGGAAGAGUGCAGAGGUCUAGUCUGUGCACCAGGGACCCGAAGGAUCCAGUCGCAGGUCCAAAGCUGCGAGCUUACUGCCAUGUCCCGGGUGAGUCCAUGUCAGGGGCUGAAGGGGAGCAGGGAGACAUCUGAGGUGAAGACCUGAGCUCUGCAGCAGGAACAGAAGUGAGCCUUCCUGGUUUCCCUUUUAUCCCAUUCAGGAUACAGACCUGUUAGCAGCAUUUUUUUUUUUUUUUUUUUUGUCUUUUUCCUUUUUAUCGGUACCGGGGAUCGAACUCACGACUGCCUGCUUGCAAGGCAGGUGCUUAUGCCACUGAGCUAAAUCCCCAGCCCCCGAUACAGACCUGUUAGUUGGUGCCGCUCACCCAGAACUAUUCUAAUCCAAUUAGUCAAAUUGACACUGUAGGGGCAGGGGAUUUAGCUCAGUGGCAUUAGCGCCUGCCUUGCAAGCUGGGGUCAUGAGUCCCGGUCCCAAUUUAAAAAAAAAAUUGACACUGUGAAUUAACCGUCACACCUGUGGUCUUAGCCACUCUAUAUAUGAUACUUCUGAGCAAAGAGUCACAGGAAAGACAAGGAAAAGCUGAGUCUUCUGAAAAAUGUAACUAAUUGUAAUGCAUGAUUCUGUCUGUAAUGGACUCUGAGGGGGAAAGGGAUACUUUAAAGGGUGCCAUUGGGACAGUUGGCAUAAUUGAAUGUGAACUAUUAGUGCUGUAUUAACUGUUAAGUACACUGUAUUAUGGCUGGCAGUAUAUUCAGGAUCAGAGCUUGUGGUCUGCAUAGGUUUUAUACUUGCAUGCAGGGAAAAACUCCCGAAUUAAUAAGGUGCGAGCUGCUGUAAGAAAAGACAGUGGUCUUGUUUUUAGGAAAUAGAACACCCACAUUUUGGGGAGUAAAAGAUGUUUGUAAUAUACUCAUGGUUUGCAGUGACAGUGAGUAAUAAUGAAUUGCAAUAAUAAAAGAAAUCAAAUUGUGGUAUGAUGUUAAUAGUAGAUACAGUUGAAUGAUAUAUGAAUUAUUUGAUUAAAAAAAAUUUUUUUUGGUACCAGGAAUCAAACUCAUGACCUCAUGCUUUCCAGGCAAGUGCUUAUGCUGCUGAGCUAAACCCAUGACCCGAGUUAUUUGAUUCUUGAUAUUAUUUUAUAUGUUUGAAAUUAUUUCAAAAUAAGAAAUUAAAAAUAUUGUCAAGUAUCACAAGUAAUGCAAUACUUUAGGAAGCACUUGACCAUUUGCGAUGGAAAGUAUUUUUACAUAGUUAAAAUAUUUUAAAAAGAAAACCAUGAGACUUCCUUCAACCUGCUUUACUAAACUGCUACAUGUUUUAAAACACAGAAAUUCAUUCUGGUAACUUUCUCUGCUGCAUUCUCCUCUGCCCUCUUUGGGUUAGGUAUAAAAAUCAUCAGGUAGGUCAGAAUUAAGACCACCUGCAUCCCAACUGUUUUUUUUUUUAAAGAGGAAAGCUCUUGAUGUGUUGCUCCAGCUGGCCUCAGGUGCCUAAGCUUAAGUAACCUGCCUCAUUUGGGAUCUUCUGCCUCAGUUGGAAGCAGCCAACAAUAGGCAUCCACAAGUGUGCCUGGCGGAACCGGUUCCAGUUGUGUGACCAGUUACUUCUUUAAGUGUUUUUUUGUCUAAAUUAUGAAAAUGAUAGCAUUAAGCUCAUAGAAUUAUUGUCAGGGUUAAAUGAUGGAUUGUCAUGUUAAUAACACUUCCACUAUUUUUUCCUCCAGUUUGUUAGAUGAAAUGUAACAUAGAAUUUACUAUACUAGCCUUUAAAAAAAAAUUAACAUUAUUAUUUUGCAGUACUGGGGGUCAAACCCAGAGUCUCAUGCGUGCUAGGCAAGGCUGUACUUGCUGCCCUUGAGCUGUCCUUCCAGCCCUGAUAGCCAUUCCUAAAUACUUUCACACUGUUUUGGAACCAUCACUAUCUUAUGUCAUACGAAGUCUUCAUCUUACAGAGCUGUAACUUGGCACCCACAGUAACUCCAGCCCUGACGACCAUCAUUCUCUUUUUUGUCCCUAUGAUUUUAAUUACUUUUAAUCUCAGUUAUACAUUCUGGAAGAGGGGAAAUAAUUACAGGAUGGACUCGAGGACCAUACAAAUGGAAUUAAACAAUAUUUGUCUUUUUGUAAAUAUCCUAUUUUACUUAGCUUUCAGAAUUCAUUCAUAUUGUAGCAUUUACCAGUUUCCUUCUUUUUUGCUUUCUUUUGUGAUACCUGGUAUUGAACCCAGAGUCUUCUCACUGAGCUACAUCCCCAUCCCUUUUUUAGUUUUAAUAUUGAGACCAGGUUUCACUAAGGCAUCAAGUUGCCCAGGCUGGACUUGAGUUUAUGGUUCCACUGCCUCAGCUUCCCAGAAUACUAGGGUUACAGGUGUGCCCCACUUUGCUGACUAUAAUUUAACUUUUUAAACCCAGUGUCAGUUAUUUUGAAAAAUGUGCAUUGUAUGAUAUGAAGCACUUCUUUUUAUUGCUAAUUCAGGUUUUGUUGUUUGAGAAACUUAUGUGGAAGUACAGGCUUGUUAUGUAAAUUUUUUCUAUUUGGAAUAUUUUUUAUUGAUAUUGCAGAACAGAAUAUAUCAGUAAGAGUAUUUUGAAUUGGUAUUAUUUGUAUUAACAGUGUUACUAAUAAUUGUCCUUUAAUUCUCCACAUUUAUGAGGCAGAGUAAAUAAAACCAUUAAUUAAUUGCUGGAACGACUUAGGAUAAGGUGUAAUGUCAGUGUAUUGGAAUUUUAUUUAAAGUUAAAAAAAACACUUAUUUUUGAGAGCAGUUUUGGUUUGUAGUAAAAUUGAGCAGAGAGGUGGCUGAGGAUUUAGCUCAGCGGCAUAAGCACCUGCCUUGCAAGCAGGUGGUCAUGAGUUCUAUCCCCAGUACCGAUAAAAAGAGAAAAAGAAAAAAAAAAAUUGAAAAAAAUUGAGCAGAGGUAUGGAGAUUUUCCACAAAUCUCUAGCUUCCACACAUGCGUUGGCUUCCGCAUUAACCUUUACCACCUGAUCUGGCAAGCACAAUGUCUUGAGUUUGAUUCUGCUACCUCCACGCCAUCCCCACACCAAAAUUUUAUCACCUGAGAAAUAUGUUUGUUAAAAUUGAUGAAACAACGUUGACACAUUAUUAUCCAGAUUAAACCCUCAAAAGCAAAAAAUUAAAUUUUUUUCAAUACCAAGUAUCUAAUCCAGGGCUUCAGGCUUGGUAAGGAAGCACACCCCACACAACUGUAUCCCUCCUUGUCCACUUACAACAAUUUUUUUUUACAAUAAUUUUUUUGAAAGUCCUAGUGUGUAAUGUUCUAAGCCCUCUGCCACAGCCAGUUGAUGUAUGAGAAAUCUUGUGAUGACUGAGUGUUCUCCCUCCACUUUGAACUGGUGGUAGAGUUUACUUCUUUGAAUAGCACCUUCCACUGCUUCCUAGUUGAGGAUCAUAAUGCUUGUGUCAGUGCGGAGCCGUGAGCACUCUGGGAUCCUUCCCCUUGGCUUCGGUUGAAGUGAUGGAUGUGAAUUAGUUCCCACGUGCAUUAGUUAUAUUUGACCUGUUUUCCUAAACUGAAAAUCUGAUCCUGUAUCUUGCAAGUGUAGAAGCUUUGAUUGCAUGAUGACGCCCACAGGACUCCACCACCUGCUUCUCAGACCCGGGUUGUGGCAUCUCUUUGCAGCCUCCUGGCCGCGUCCCUCCUGCCCGAAUGUCCACAGCCCACUAAAUCCUCCUCCUCCUCCCAGGAUUUGCUAUUCUCACCAUCUCCAAUUCCUUUUCAGAAUUCAAAUCUUUUCCUGGAAAGCUUCUUUGACCUCCCAAAUCUGGGUUAUGCUCAGAGUUUAUGUUAGAGUAAUCAUUAGAUUACUUUGUAAUUCUGUUUACUUUUACCUCCUCUAGGCUGGGAGCUAGCCAAAGAUAAAGAGGCUUUUAUUUUUGCAUCCAAGAGCUUGACUGUGUGCUGAGUGUAUUCUAGGAGCUCAGUACAUUUUUAAUGAAUAAAUGUCAUGCUUAAAUAUCUCCAACUGUAACCAUUCUUCACUUGUUCAUACUUUUUCCUGUAAUGCUAAUAGUGGUUCCUUGAAGGAUCUUCCUCCCUCUAGGCUUAGCCUGUCUUUUAUUCAUAGUGCUUAUUCUUUUAAUGGUCACUGUACUUUUCAGUCUAACCUGCUGAUUGUCCACCUUUCCAAAAUGCUGAUAGGAGCACAAUUCCUAAUGGGAAAUCUUGGAAGUGGCCUGUAUGUUCAGCAGCAGAUAAACAGAUAAAGUGUUAUAUUUACAUGUAAUAGACUACAAUACUGCUAUAAAGAAGGGUAAACUUGCAUUACUUGUAGGAAAAUGGAUGCACCUUGGGAUAAUGUUAAGUGACAUAAAUCACACGCACAAGCUUAAGUAGGGCAUGGUGUCUCUUAUAUGAGAAACUCAAAGCAUAAAUAAAGAGCAAAAUAAGAGCUAGGAAACAAAGAUCGUCUGCUUGAUAACUUCAAUUUCUAGCUGCUCUCUAGAAAAUUUCCUCUUCAACUCUUACAAGUUUACUUGUAUUGUGCCAUAAUUCAUCUGUGUUUUUCCCGUAUUAGGGUGAGCUUUUUUUUUUUUUUUUCAUUUUUAUUGGUACCGGGGAUCGAAUUCACGACCGCCUGCUUGCAAGGCAGGUGCUUAUGCUGCUGAGCUAAACCCCCAGCCCUAGGGUGAGCUUUUUGAGGCUCCUAUUUUAUAUCCAGUUCUGCUAUCUAUGCUUCCUAGGUCUGCUUAGUAAAUGUUAUUAAACUGAAUUCUAUGCCUCUGGGUUAUAGAAUAAGUAUUAGUGGAAUUGCCAUUGAAUUUUAAGAAAAUGAUUUUUUUGUCACCAUCUGAUAUAAUUUUAGGACACUGAUACUAGUUUUGUUUUUUGUUUUUUUGUUUUUUUUGUCUUUUUCCUUUUUAUCGGUACCAGGGAUCGAACUCAUGACUGCCUGCUCGCAAGGCAGGCGCUUAUGCUGCUGAGCUAAAUCCCCAGCCCCAAUGAUACUAGUUUUUAAACCAUAGUCCAAAUGAUAAUAUUUUUAUUUAUUUCCCUUGUGUAUGUACUGAUGCAUUCUUUGGACAACUUGAAAUGAUCCUUAUUUUUUUGCUUUGAAUGUUCCAUUUAAUGUUUGAUUAAAAAGCUUUUGGGCCAGGGAUAUAGCUCAGUGGCACAGUGCCUGUCUGGCAAGUGCAAGGUCCUAAGUUUGGUUUCUGGUACAAAAGAAAAAAAAAAAGAGCUUUUGAUAUGUCUUUCAUCCCAUAAAAAGUAAUCAGGGUAUUUCUAGAGCACAAUUUUAUUCCCUUUAUCUUAUUUAUUUCAGCAGUUUUAGAAAUUGAAUUGCACCCAAGGGUUCACGCAUGCUAGGCUGUACCACUGAGCUAUUACUGACACCCCGUUCCUUUAUUCCAAACACCUGUUAUUCUUAUUCCUUCCCCUUAUUUGUUGUAAUUGGUGGGUGAUGUCAGAGAAAGCAAUGCUGGACAUUGGUUGGAGUGAUAAAAGCAGAUUUCUGGAAUUAUUUCAGUAAGGGAAAAGAGAACUAAGCACAGAACUGGACUCAGAGAUAGAUUUACUGGGCAUGGUGGCACACACCUGUCAUCUCAGUGCUUGGGAGGCUGAGGCAGGAAGAUCACUACAAGUUUGAAGCCAGCCUGGGUUACAUGGUGAGUUCAAGAUCUGUCUGAACUAUGCAUGGAGACCCAGUCUCAAAAGACAAAAGAAAAAAAGUUUUUGUAAGUAAGUGGAUGCAACUUGGGAAUGUAAUAUGAAAUAAGUCAGAUACACGAGCUGAGAUAUUACAUGGUUUCCCUUAUAUGAGAAACUGUGUAUAUGCAUAUGCUCACACAAAUAAAGAGCAAAAUGGGAAAUAAGGAGAAAUUCAGAUACUUCCCCAAAUUGUAUAUUCUAUUGUUUUAAAAAUAUUUCAAUAUAUGCUAAUUUAUUUAAUGUAUAUACUAGUUUAUCUUAAUUCCUUGAAAAGAAAGUUUAGUAUUAUUUCUUUCUUGUAACAGUUUUUCUAGUCUGUAUCCUAUGCUUUUUGUAACUACUUUGAAGACACAGUGAUGCACAGUGUAAUAACUAUUAUUAUUCCCUUAUUAUUUGGUUAUGAAAUUUUGUUUCUCAUUUUUUCAUUAAAAAUGUUUCAGGUCCAAGUAUAGCAAGGAGAAAUGGGGAAUUACAGUCAAGGAGCAGAGUGAAAGUAGAAAAUUAUUAAGAGGGUGAGGAUUUGGCCAAACUGACUUGGUGGGCUUCUUGCCCCUGAAAUUUGGCCCUGCCAGUGUGUUCAGUGUCCCCUAGGAGGGGUGGGGACCAGAGAGAGGAUCUCUCUAGGCUACCUUGGCAACAUUCUUUUGGGACAAGGCCCAAGGAUGAGUUCUAGUUGAAAAGGACUCCAAGAUCUUAUCUAGAAUUUUGUCCAAGGAGUAAGUCUUGACUAGUUCUAAAUAAAGCACAGGGGAGCUGGGCAGGGGAUGCACAUCUGUAACCCUAGCACGAGUUCAGGCCCAGGCUGGGCAACGUAGUGACUUAAUGAGAGCCUGUCUCAAUGAGAAGGGCUGGGAAUACAGCUCACUGCUAAGAUCCCAGGUUGGUUUCCCAGCUGUCAAGAAGGAAAAACCACAGGGGAGAGGUUAUCAGACUGUGGUCCCUGCAACUUGUUAGAAAUGUGAGCAGAUUGUCAGCUCUUCCAGCCCUGGGAAUGAGGAGAGUGUACAGUUGAUAUCAAAUGAAGUUACAUGCAUGCUAAAGGUUGAGAACUCACAGAUAGCAAAACUAGAACAUCAAGGUGGUGCUUUUGUACACCAUGUAUACAUUGCAAUAUCAAAUGUAAAAACCAAAUGAUUACACUUUUUGGUAAAGUUCUCAACAAGGUUAGCUGUGCAUGUUGUUUAGAAGACUUUGCCUACCUCAGCAGCGUGACCUCUUUUGAUGUAGAGUUUCCCAGUAGUACAUUUUAUAUAACAUUUGUACAUUUAUAAAGUAUCAGAUAUUAAAAGUGGAAACCAACAUUUCGAUUGUAGAAUUUAGUACAGGCACCUUAGAGACCUGUGAUUGAAUUUUGUUAUUUGAUGCUCGAAGAAACAAGCUGACAGAGGUUACUAAAAUGCUCAGGGCCGCGCUGGUGAAUAGCGCAGUGCACGGACCAAAGAAUCUGGGUCUCCUCCUCCCCUGCCUCCUCCACGGACAGGAAGCUAUUUCUGUCACAGUUGCAUGCUUGAUCUAAAUAUGCUUUAUUUGGUAGCGAGUUCUCUGCAAGCUCCUUCUCUAGGACAGAGCAGAGAACACCUGAAAUGACAGUGAAAAAUGCUCUCUCAAAGACUUCUUUUUUCCCCAUUUUGAAUUAUUUCUUUCAAAAAGUAGAGAGCAUAACAAAACAACGGUCAUCACCAAUCUUAAGAAAUAAAACACAAAAUAUAAUGAAAACCCCAUUCCUGUUUUCCUUCUACACUAACCACAAAAAACAAUACCUAAAUUAUUAUUUUUGUUUCCAUGUCAUUAAUUACAGAUGAGUAAAUCUCUAAAUAGCAUGAUGUAUGGCUUUAAGUCUUAAAUUAUUUACAUGGUAUUCUAUACAUGACUUUCAGCUGCCCAUUCUUUUCAAAGAGAUUUUCAUGUUUGUUAAUAGCAUAGGUCCUAGAGUAUCUUCAAUACUGCUGUUGUAUGUAGUUUUAUUAUAUGCUUUUGUUAUACUCUGGUUUCUCUCCAGGUCAUAUAAAUCAUAUGAUUAUACCAGUGUGUUCAUUCUGCUAGUGAGAGCUUAUUCUAAUUUUACUCCUUUUUUUAAUUUUUAAUUUUUUUUUAUUUUAAAGAGAAUAAAACCAAGCAAAAUAAAGCAGAAUAGAGCCAAUCAAAACAAAACUGUAAGUGAUACAGGAUUUCAAAACAAGAUAAUAGAAAAUCAACAAUGCAGUGCCUCUUGUCCUCUUCAAAAUAGCUAUCCACAUCAUCAGACAUUGGAAAAUGAAACAAAAUAGAACAGAAUGGAGCCAGUAAAACAGAACAGUGAAUCCACAAUACAGGACUUCAAAACAAGUUAAUAGUAAAUCCAAAAUAGCUACCAUAAUAUAUCUUGUUAUUUUUGAAAUAGCUGCCCAUGCCAUCAGAUACAACAAAAUCAAACAACACAAAACAGAGUAAAACCAAACCAAACAAAACAAUGAAAGUGAUCCAGGACUUUAAAACAAGAUAAUAUGGAGCAGUAGCUACCAUCUUCAGAAGGAGAUUCCCCCAUAGAUGCUGUAGUGCAUUUUGUUAUCUUCUAAAUAGAUGAUCAGAUUACUGGCUUUAGGCCUGCAAAGUCAAUGAAACACUAAGACUAGAAGCAUUAAGUUGUAUUUUGCUGCAGUAGGUAUCAUGUUAGCCUGUGUUUCUCCAGAUCAGCCAGUCACUGGGCAGGAGAGGGGACCUUGGCUCUUCUUGUCUCCCAGCCUGUGCACCAAGAAAGGCUGGCCCCUGGUUGUCCUCCUUGUGGGCAGCACAUGGUGCCAACUCACAGUAAGUGGCUGGUUUCUUAUCCUCCCUGUGGCCCAUGAAUAGUACCGACUAACAGGAAGAGGUUGGCAUCUCUCCUAUUUUUACUUUUUCCACUUUUUUUUUAUUGUUACUUUUCAUUGUUUUUGUUUGUUUGUUUGACUUUUGGUACCAGAGAUUGAACUCACAACCUUGUGCUUACCAGACAAGUGCAUGAACCACUGAGCUAAAUCCCUGGCCCUGUAUUUUUUUUUUAAACUUGCCCUGUGUUCCUUGCUUUGUUUCUCUUUCCACAUAAGUUCCUUUACAUAUUUUCUUCUUUCCAUUGUAGAUUCAGUCCUUAGCACAGGAUAAAAGAAUGAGCGGUUGAACUAUUAUUGGAAGAAUAUAUUUAUAUUAAUUAUAUUUGUGUGUAAAUUACCAUUUUAGCCAAUGAAAACUACACCUGGCAAAUUUGCUACCUUGUUGUUUGGCCUUUGUCCUUUGAUUGUGCUGUCAUUUUUUUUUUUUUUUUGUCUUUUCAUUUUUAUCGGUACCAGGGAUUGAACUCACGACUGCCUGCUUGCAAGGCAGGCACUUUAUGCCGCUGAGCUAAACCCCCAGCCCCCUGUUUGUGCUGUCUUUUCAACUCAAAGAUUAAAGCCUGAUAGGAAAUUUACCAAACUAAGUAAGUUAUUAAUUUGUUGUUUUCAGUUUGCUUGUAUUCCUUUUCAUUGGCAUUAUUAUAUGUCUAUUUUAGUUCAUAAAAGUGUGGACUAAUUUGUGCUUUGACUAUUAUCCAGCAAUUCUGUUAGUGCUCAGAAAGUUUUGGUUCCUAAGCCUUGCAGGGAGGCUGUGUGCACUUGCCUAUACUUACUCUCAGUGCUCUGGGACGGUGAGUGAGGCAGCGGAACCCCAAUUUCAAGCUUAGCCUGCCCAGUACAGCAAGGUAGCAUAACCCUGUCCCAAAGUAAAGGGCAUAUGAAUUUAUUUCAUGUGACUAAAUCUGUUCUCAGAACUGUAAGAACAAAGAAACACUGCAAAAUCAUAAAGAACACAUAUUUAUUAGACAAAUCCAUUUAAAAAGGAAAUCAACUGGUGCUAGGUGUGGUGGUACACGCCUUUAAUCUCAGCACUCUGGAGACUGAGGCAAGAGGGUCAUUGUGAGUUCGAGACCAACCUGGGCUACAAAGUGAGCUUAAGGCCAGCCUGAACUGUGUGCAUGAGACCCUGUCCCAAAUGAAUAAAUAAAUCAACCUUAAACAUAAAUGACAGACACUAUUUUUUGUGAGGCGUAUGUUCACAAAUUCAUUGAGUUGUGUAUAUAUAUGAAAUGUAAUUUCCCAUUUUAAAAAUUGAUAUUAAAUGUUUUUUAAAGCUUAGACAACAGAUUAACUUCUAAAGAAAUUUUAGUCUUAAAGACAUUACAGUAAUGGUUAGUUUUUCAGUAAUUUGAGGAACAAAAAAAUACUUCAUUUUUCAAGUAUAUUUUUGCUUGCUAGUCACGCUUCUUUUCAUUAUUCAUUUGUAAUACUUUAUAAAUGAUUUUCUACUGUUGUGCAGGGUUUUUUUUUGUGGUAUUGAUGAGCUAAAUGUUGAAAAUUAUUUUAAAAUUAAGGUCAUGCCCACUAGAUGGAGCUGUUUUUCUUGUUUGAUGUAGUAAUAGGAUAAAUAAAAAUAGAACUCUUUAAAUGGAAGAUCUAGAAUUUGGGCCUAAUAUUUUGAAGGUAGAUGACCUCAGUGGAAGGAAGCAUUCAAAUAUUGUAAAACUAUUCAGUGAUGUAUGUUUAUCUUAAUGACCAAGCCUAACUGCCAGAGUUAAUAUGGCAGAGAACCUUCUUUACUUGCAGUUCAAUUUUUUAGACAGCGUUUUGCUGUGUAGUCCAGGCUGCCCUUGAACUCACUAGGUACCCUCAGGCUGACCUUGAACUCAUGAUGGUCUUCGUGCCUCUGCCUCCCAAGUGCUGGGAUUACAGGCAUGUUGCACCACACCUGGCUUCAGAGAACCUUUUUAAUCUAAAAUAAGUAGGGGCUGGGAAUAUAGCUCAACGUUGUGGCACCUGCCUGGUGAGUGCAAGGUCUUGAGUUCGAUUCCCAGUACCAAAUAAAGAAAUUUUUUAAGGUUGAUGUACGUGCAGAUCCCACUCACGGUAAUAACUGUAUGUGCGAAACUGAAAUUAUUUAUAAAGGAGGCAUUUGUUACCAAAAUUUGUUUCCUGUUUUCUUUGCAUUUUUGAAUAUCACUGCCUUACCAAAGUUACAGUUACUUCCAAAUUAAGGGAAGCAUUUUGAUUAUUUAUGUGUUCUUAUUUCCUAAACAAAGGAGAGAAAAUUAGGUUUGAAUUUCUUAUUUUUCUGAAGAAGUAAGAUGUAAAUUGAUUUAUAUAUUAGGAAAAAAGCAGUAUUUAUGGAGAUAUAGGUUUCAAAUUAAUGCUUUAGCUAGCUAAUGAAAUGCUUUCACUGAAGGUUUAGCUGAGCCAUAAGAAUAUUUCUAGGAUUUUGUUGUAGCAUUUCCCCCUGAUGUUACAGCUCUAUGUCUGUGUCUGGCUGAGAGACUGCAGCAUAAAGGCAUGUAGACACUGUUAAAAAUAUUUGUUAAAGCCAUGGUGUCAACAGGUCAUGUGAAAUUAAGGUUUCUUUUAAAUACUGGCUUUGAAUUUGUCCUCUAGAAGUUAAUGUGUGACUGUGAACUCAGUAUUCAGUUAUUUAUAAUAGAAUAAACAGCUUGUCAAGCUAGUAGUUUUUCUUGUUUUUCUUACUUGAAUGUAAAUAUUAUAGUAACAUAGUCCUUAUACAUACCCUUAAGAUGAAUAACUACUAUAAUGCUUUAUUUGGACAUGUUCAUUGCAUUUUCGUUUUUUAAAACUUAAUAUUUUAGUUUUGCAGUGUGUCAGAGCUCUCCUUGAAGAGUAUAAAACUCUUUAUGUUUUAUUUCUUUGCUACACUUAGCACUACGAGGUACAUAUAGUAGAUGACCUUCACAAAUUUAUUACGUAGGUCAAUAGUUUUGUUAUGUGAGGAGUUUUUAUUAGCAUUACAGUGUAAUAUUAAUUACGUAAAUAACUUUUCUUGGAGAAAUUUCCAUACUAACAAAGAGAAUUCCUGUUCUGUAGUUUUUAGUCACAUAUUCUUGUUGUCUUUUGUAAUCUUAUACUUUUCUGAAAUGACAUUUUAUAAUCGAUUUAAAAGGACAAUCUCACUGGAAUGUCUUGGAAUCAUAAUGAUACAUUCUACCAUAGUGAGGAUAUGUUCUUUUCUUUUCCUUUCUUUUUUCUGAACCAAAAUUUUAGUAGCGUGUAUGGUCACCCUUCCCUAGCAUUCUGGAAGGCAAAGGCAGCAGGAUCACAAAGUUAAGCCCAGUCUGGGCAAUUUAGUGAGACCCCGUCAGAGAGAAGGAGAGAGCAGGGAAGGAGGCAGGGAGGGCGGGGAUGGAGAUCACACUGUGAAGACCAAGUUCACCCCCCAGUGUGGGUUGGGGAUCUUCUAAGGUUGGUUUCAUGAGGAUCGAGGGUAUUAAAGAUUGUCUAGUCCAACAGGUAUCAAGAGUGUGACUCUAAGGGUGGUGUGCUACAUCAGGCUUUCUGUGAGCCAGGUUACCAGUACUUUUUAAAAAAUAGACAUUUAUGCUUUUCAUGCUCAGUACAAAAUAAUACCUCUUGUUAGUAAAUUAUUUUGGUUUGGAAAUAGGUUUUUUUGGAGUCAAUAUCUCACUCACUAAUAACCAAGGCUGGCCUUGAACUCACAGAGCUACACCUGCCUCAAUCUCCUGAGUGCAAGGAUUACAGGCACACAUGGCCUAAAACUUUUUUAUUUUGUUAUUUUAACUAACAUGAGCAAAUUUGGAAUAUUGAUCUGUUUUUUUCAACAAUAAAAUAGUGGAUUUUUGUUAGUUUGUUUUUUUGUAAAUUCACUGUGAUAGCUUUACCAUAAAGUUUAAACUUCUAAGGGGAAAGGGGAAUUGGCAGAUGGUAUAAUGUAGCUUUUCCCACCCCCAGGUUGAAGGUGAAGAUAGCUGCUCGUGUUUUAGAGACUCUUUUACUGUCUUCUUUGUUUUUUUCCCCUCCGUUUCUUUUCUGAACAGUAAAACAGUUACAAGCCUUCCUGGUCAUUUGUGGCAGUCCACCAUAGAAGAAAAAGCCUUCUAAAGUCUCAAGAACUAAAUCAAGAGGAUAAUAAUUUUAUAUUCCUUUUCGUUAGAUAUACCCCAUUUCUCAAGUCGAAGGUUGAGAUGGAGGCAGUGGAUUCUAAACUGCAUCCACCUUUUUUGUUGUUGUUGCUGUUGAAGGAAUUUAAAACCAUGUAGUGAAGAAACUGGACAGUUUAGGCUGAAGAGGAGUAAUCAGGACGUGCAUAAUGGCCGCCUUCAUUCAAAAGGCUUCCUUCAUGAGGAAGUGAGAUUAGAUCUGUUGAUUUAUUCGUGAAACCAGUGGGUAGGAGACGUGGGCUGAAUGAAUUUUCAUUCAACAAGGGAAAACUUUCUAGUGUGGUGAAAAAAUACAAAACUAAAAUCAGUUGGAUUUGGAGGCAGUGAAUUACUUUUUUCAGGAGACAUUAAUGUAUAGAUCAGAUUAUUGACUAUUGGUAGAGAUGCUGGUAAGUGAAUCAGAAUUUAUGGCUAAUUGAGCUAGAUGAUGUUUUAAGUUUUUUUCUAUGAUUAUGUGCUUGGGUAAAGUUGUUGAAAAUAAUUUUUUAAGCUGCAAGUUUGAAAGACUGUUUGGUUUAGGAGCUAUCUUCCAUUUUUAUAUCAGGUGGUCAAUAAACCAGAAGAGUUUAUGGAUCUGCAGUCUUGCUAGGAUCAGUGUUGUAAAUUUUCCAGGAAGUAGUCUGUGUUUUAUUUGUUCAUUUUAUUGCACGUUGUUUGUAGAGGACAGAUUGUUAGCAGAAAUGUGGAAAAGAAAGGGGUGAUAGACAUCAGAAAAGAAAAUAAAAGCCGUUUUGAAGGUGUAUAUUUAAUUGAUGGUCUUUUAAGACUAUAUUUAAUUUUCUAAAUUCUUUGUAAUCAUAAGUAUUUUCUGCUUCCUGUUUAUACUCUUUUUACUUUCUGUUUAUUUUCCAUGUCUUUUAACAAAGUAAACUAGACCAUAUUUAAUAUCUGUGUGACUUCCUCCUCAUUGGUUGCUGAUCUAUAAAUAGGAAGGUUCUUUGGAAUAUAAUUACUGAAACCAUGAGUGCAUUAUCAUAUUGUAUAUUACUUCUUAAUUUAAUAGUAGUUUCCAGGAGCAGGGGAAGGAUUUUACUUUUCUUACCUUCCUUUGUAUACUAGGAACAAGUAAGUGUUCUUACUAUUAAUUUUACACACUGGUAAGUGAAUGUUAAACAUUAACUAGGAAUACUAGACAUAAAUAGAUUACAGCAAAAUAAUUACCCUUCUUUUUGUGAGUAGUCAUGUAUCACUGUAUUUAUGCCUAUAUUUUUCUCUCUUUUAUUGUUUGUGUCCUUAAGACUUCCAAUAAGAAUUUGAGAUCUUACAGCGUCAUAUGUAAACUGUGUGCUUGUCAUGCAAACAUAGAGAUAUUAUUUGUUCACUGGAUGUUUACUGAAAGUCUGGUAUAGCAGUUGUGCAGUUAUAUUACUAAAGGGUUCAAAUGGGAACUGAAUGAGUGAAGGAAACCAAGUGAAAAUAACAAAUAUUGAUAUAUUGUUGCAUUUCUUAAAAAAAAAAAAAAAAAAAAAAAGACCUGCGGUGCUGUAGUCUGCUCCUCUUCUUUAUUUAAUAUAAAUGAGAUUGCUUUGUGUGACAUUUAAAUAUUCAUGUUUAUUUUUCUAUGCACAAAGUCCUGUUUUAGACACUGGACUUAGAGUGACAAUAGUUUUCCUUCACUUAUGAGAUUUAUCAUAAUAUAAUGGAGAAGACAGACUGGUGGUUUAAAAAUUCCAGUAAGUCUGCCUAGUAAAACAACAUAGAACUUGGAGCCUGAUAAUGUGAGUUCUUAUUUUGCCUCUAUCUAUUUAUUCAUGCAUUUAAUAGUUCUUGAGUAUUUAUUGUCUGUCUUAGAGAUAUACCAGAAGUUCACAGAUGCCCUGAAAAGUUCCAGUCUCUCUGGUAUUGUAAAUAAGUCACAGCCAGCCGACAUGGAGUAAGGCUUGCAGAAACUGUGUCCAGUACUCUAAGAGCAGUGACCUUCCUCAACCUGUGAGCUGCGUGAAAGAGCUCGUGUUAGAGGUGGGUCUUGAAGGAUGAAUAUAGUUGGUAUACUUUCUCCUGUCCCCAGAUAGAGGGAUUCUUAGGAACACAUGGAAGCAUUAAUAGGAUGUUUUGGAGAACAGCAGGUUAUUUUUCUUCUCCCUCUUUUUGUUUUUUUUCAGACAGGGUGUUGCUAUGUAGUUUAGGCUGACCUUGAACUCAUCAUGUAACCCAGCCUAGCCUCAAAUUUGUGGAUCCUCCUGCCUCCACUUUCCAAGUGCUGGGAUUACAGCCCUGAGAGAACAUUGAGGCACUGCAUCAUUGGUUAAAACAUUGAGUAUUUAAUGAAGAUAGAAGAAAAAAGCUACAUAUGUGGGAUAUGGGCAUAAUUGUGAGGAAUUUUAUCUGUCUGCUGAAAUUGUUGUAUUUUUUUAUGGACGAUAAUUGUUACUUGUGGAAAGUUUUUAAGCAGGCAUACUUGGUCUGCAUUUUUACAAAGGUAAUCAGUAAAAUAUAGGAUCAAGUGGAAAGCUGAGACGAGACAAGAAUACUGGUUUAAUGUAUUUUCAUAAUAAAUGCAAAUGAAAUAAUGAGGGUCCAGAGUAGUAAUAGUGACGUUAGACCAGAGAGAAAAAAUACAACUCAGAGUUAAAAUUGAUAAGAUUUAGUGGCUGACAAGGACAGGACAUGGAGGAGGUUUUGAGGUUUUGUCUUUAUAUCUGUGUAAGUAAUUUCUGGUAUCUAACUUCUAGAGAAAGAGCAGCAUGAUUUGAGUGAAGUAGUACUUUUGCUUUUGUAAUAUUUAGUUUUCUGAGUAAAACUAUGUUAGAAGCCUUAAGUUAUGAUCAGAGGAAACACUUAGAAAGGAGAGUCAGUGGAGAGAUAGCCUGGGUAUGCAUUAUACCUUUUAAAUCUUCAGUUUGCUAUGCAUAAAAAUAUGGAGGAGAGGUCAAUCAUUUUUCUAAUUUGGAAAUAACCAGGGUUAUAGUUAUCACAUAUUCUAAAUUAGUGGUACAAAAAUGAUAGUAAUUAGAAGUUACAUUUUAUAGGCUAGUAACUAUUUAUUGAAUGCUUCCUUUGUGAAGCUUAGGUAAGAUGUUAAGCAUCUUGCAUUCAUUAUUUCAUUUAAUUCUCAUGUCAGCAUGAGUCAAGUAAUAUUAUUAUCUGGAUUUUCAGAAGAGAGAGGGUAUAUUAGCCAAAAGAACAAAUAAGUGGACCUUCAAACCCAGGUCAGUUUGACUUGAAAACCCACGCUCUUAACCACUGUGCUAUUUGACUGUCUCCUAGAGUAUAAAACUGUAAUGGACCUAAAUACCUACUCUAGCCUGGCCCUGUAAUCAAAUAUAUGUCAUUGUCAAAAUCUGUAAUUAGCAUUAAGAUUCGGUAUCCAAUUUACUUAAUAAAAAGCUUAUCCAGAAACCAUUCAUUACAACUGUUAUCUUUGUGGCAGAUCCUUGUUUUGGGGCGGUGGAGGUGAACUUAACACUACUCUCUCCUGACUUUACAACUUUGCUAAAUACUGAUAUGUCUAGACCAGUCAUGAUUACUCUAUGUUUCUUAACAGUCAUCAGUUCAAACAUGGGACUGUGACUCUUAAUUUGGCCAAUAAUUUGUAUGUGACAAAUGAGACAUGAAUGAUUUUAUGAAGGACUCUUCAAAUGAUUUCCCCCUCCUAUUUCUAGACAUUCCUAUCUAGAAGGUGCUUAGAAUUGUAGGAGCUCUCUUGUAACCUUUCUGGGGCUGGGAGAGAGUUCAAGAUAAAGCCAGAACACUGUACGCCAGCAUGAAAACAAAAAGAAGGUAAGAACUUGAAUCCUUAAUGAUCUUGUUGAACUGCUAAAGUACGCAGCCAUAAAGAUACUGUGCUGCAGUACUAGGUCUUAUGUAAAAUUAGAAGACAUCCAUUAGGCUGUGUGAAACAAGGGAAUGUAUUAGGUUGUUGUGAGGCCCACACACCCAUAUUUACUACUUAAAGAAACUUAAUAAAGUCUAAAGUGUUUGUCCUUGCUCUAAAGUAUAAUAAUAAACUGUCAUAGGGCUUGUAUUGCUGUGUAGAUAUGGUUAAAACUGGAAGAGAAGACAAUUUUAGGGGCAGUGUGCUGAUCUCACAGUGGUAGAAGUUGGAGAUGAUCUGCUAUGGAAUACUGAGGUAUUUUGUAAUAGGGUACCGAGGCGGCAUGUGCUCACCAGCCAGCUACCCCAUCACUGAUGUUAGAUGUUAACAGUGGCAAAGUGUUUUGAGGAGAUGAGUCUGAUUUCUGACAGUUUCUGUGGGUUGAGGGAAUAGAAGGUAGGUCUUCUAAUUAAUGUAGGAAAUAGAGAUAAAUUUACUUCAUAGUUGGGGAACCUAAUUUUCAGAGUCCCUUAACAGUCCCUUCCAGGGCUCAGGGAACAUCACAAGCGGUAUGAUCAUGUAAUUAUAAUUUUGAGGGGUAAGAUUUUUCAAAAGUUACAUAUUUGAAUCGGUUAAAAUUGCUAUCUCUUACACUUUUAUUUUCCCUUUACCGAACACCAACAUUGGGUGGCAUUGGAAUGGCUGGAAGCAGCUUCGGGAACUGGCUAAGGGAAGACGGAAAUACAUUUCGAUGUGGUGUCUGUUUGCAGUUGCUUGUGUAUGUAGUUGUGAAUAGCCAUCCUCCAACAGGGACCAAAGUAUUCUUUCUGUCUCGUGUGCCUAAUUUCCUUCCUAUGAGGUACACAGAUGCAGGGCCAGAGAUCUUAGAACAAUAUGAACAUAUUGUUUGUGUUUGGUACCAGAGUAUGUAGGUUAAGGAAGAGAAACAUAUCUAAAGUGUGUGGAGCUACAUCCCUAGCACUGUUUUAUUUUACUUUGAGAUGAGGUCUCAAAACUUGCUGGCCUUGUCUCAAGCUUGCUGUCCUCCUGCCUCAGCCUCCUGAGCCUCUGGAAUUACACAUGUGUGACACCAACCCUGCCCUAGAAAAUUUUUCUAGAUCUUAGAGCUUAGAUAUGAUCGAUUGAUUUUGGGGACUGAACCAGAGCUACAUCUCCAGCCCUUGUUAUUCGUCUCAUUUUGAGACAGUUUAGCUAAAGUCACUGAGUUGCCCUGGCUGGGCUCAAACUUGUAAUUCACUACUUCAGCCUCCAAAAGUGCAGGGAUUAUAGGCACAUGUUUUCCUAAAUUUGGUAACAUUCCUACAAAUGUACAUGGUGUUCUCAGUAAUAAGUUGUAAAGCUGAUAUAAACUUAUUCAUGCUGCUUGUAACAAAAAAUGAUCAAACACUAGCAAAAAGACCAAGCUCUCAUUUUGCUCUUUUAAUAUUGUUAUUGGAGUCAUGGGUGAACUCUCAGGCAUAAGGGCUCCUAAAGACUAGGUUUGGGACACCGGGGAUGGUGGCGUAUGCCUAUAAUACCAACAUUUGGGAGGCUGAGGCAGGAGGAUCGCUUUGAGUUCGAGGCCUGCCUGGGCUACAAAGUAAGUUCAGACCCUGUCUUAAAAAACCAAAACCAAACAAAUAAACCAAAAAACCCCUAGGCUUGUCCCCAAACACCAAAGCAACUAGGAGCAAGAGAGGAGCUUUAAUUAGUGUGGCUAAACUGGCAAAGACAGGUGAAGAGGCCCAAGAUCUGUCUGCAAGGGACAGACAGGAAUUGAGGGGUUUUUAUAGAAAAGAAGAACAGAGGCAAAGCUGGAGUGUGGGUAGCGGUGGCGUGGGUCAGCCUUGGUCUGGUGAAUCGCUAUUGCAGGCCUGGUCUGUGAGGCGGCUCUGGAGUCCUGUGGUGUGGUGGGACAAGCUGGCUCCCUGGAGACCUUUGCUUCUGCUUGUGUGUAUGGAGGGGCGCAGGGCACAGGGCGCAGGGUCAGGACAGUGAGUGGAGACUUGUGCAACAGACAUCCUAUAAAACCUGGCAGCCAGAGUUCCUGCAAUUCUUAAAAAGAACCAUAUUUACUCUUAUCUUCCUGUCUUGAUCCUGACUAGGGGAAGAGACAGGUAAAUUUAGAGCUGAUAAACAUUUUUAUCAGUUUUUAGAUAAACAUUCUUGAAUGAUUUACAUGUACAGCUGAGCAGCGAUAUGAUGCAAGGUUUUAAGGUAGUAAAGGAGGCUGAUAACACAAAUGAAGGCAGACAUGCCAGGCUUUCUGUAGCCCCCGGUUAUGCCCUGGGCAGCCACAGGCCCUGUUCUUACAGGCCCUGUCUUUCAGUCCCUGUUAGAAGGUUACCAAGCUGCAGGAAGAGGCUGUCAGAAGUAUGCAGCUAGAAAUGGAGGAAAAUCAUAUAACAGAGCCUGAGCAGUUAGAUCUUACAAAAAUAUGCUAUUCUUUUUGGAAUUUGUGGUGUUUGUGGCAUUUGUCAUGUUUUUAAGUCUGUGAUUUGUUGUAGAGUUUCCUCAUUCUACAUGAAAAUCUGUUUUAUAUCCAGUUUUCUUUUCCUUAAAGAGAACCUCUAAAGUUGUAAAAUAUUUCAGCCCACAGUACCUCACAGGAAGUAAAAGCUAAGAUUUGUACCAGUGUUGAAAUAGGUAAAUCAGAAGAUGUGGCCAGGCACAUAGACACACUUCUGUAAUCCAAAUUACUCAGAAGGCUGAGGCAGGAGGGUCUCAAAUUCAAGGCCUGCCUAGGCAACUUAGUGACAUUUUGUCUCAGAAAAGAAAAAAGUGAAAAACCCAGGGCUUAGGGAUGUAGCUUAGUGUUAAAGAGCUGCUGGAUUCAACCCUCCAGUUCUGCAAAACCAAGCCAAACCAUCAUUUAAAGGUAGUACCCUUGUUUAUUUUGUGAUAUAAGGAUUUAGAGGUAAAUUUUUGAAAAAAGCAAAGGGUUCAGUGGUUUUAAUAAAUACUGUGGGUCUGAGUAGUAGUGUCGUCCGUUAGCACUUUGUCCAACAAUUCUCGUACGUGUAGCUAACUGGCUACUGUGAUAACUUAUUUCCCUUACUAGUUUUCUUCAGAAAUUGGAAUGGGGGUACUAAGGAGAAGAAAGCUAUCCUAUGUUCCAUCUAGUGAAGAACAUUUCAUGCCAGGGUUCCUGGUACAGAGCAACUGAGAUUGCUAGAAUUUCCCACAUUUUAGCCAUUACAGUACCUUUGUAACUGAUGAAUGUAAUGGAUUAUUGUGCUGUCGCUACCAAUGUUGCUAAUGGGAUGACUUACUGAUGUAGGGGAAAUGCUAGAUGUCAAACAUGCAGAGUUCAUGUUUUCCAAAGUCAAAGAAUGAAUUCUAAGGAUCAGUGGAGGUUGAGUAGGAAAAUUUAUUGGAGAAAAGGAGUGGGGAAUAGGAGAGCUCCUAAGCAAAAGGAAGGGUCCCAAAUAAGUGACCAGUGAGGCCACCUUUCAAAAGACGCUUCCUAGAGCAAAAUCUUGAGAUGGGUACAACAUGUAUCAAAUUACAAUCAACCCAUAAGAUUGCAGGUAUAGCCUUUUGGGUAAUAUUGAUCUAAUGGUACAAGGGUACAUGGUUGACACUGUUAACUUUGGUCAGUCAUCUGUCACAGGCUUAGUCUUGUCUUUAGUCUUAGUAGUGUUAGUCCUAGUUUCGGUGGUCUUAGUCUCAGAAGUUGGGAGAAGAUGGGCCACCAUUAAUGAGAUAAUGGGGAAUCUCAAAAAGGGUGGUACCACUAAGCCCAAGCCUCCAUCAUCCUCUAGGGAAGUAGGUGACUUUCAUCUUCAGAUGCAUGUCCAACCGCAGUCCUGACGCCUUCUCAUCUCCUGCACUGACUCCCUCAGACACUCCAGCCCUAUCUGACCAUCUGCUCUAUUUCUAUCUAGCUUAGCUGUCUAUAAUAUUAGCUGGGCCCCUGGCUGGCUUUGGAAUGAGGGUUGGGGAUGCAGGAUACCAAGGCUUUUUCCGAGGUGUAGGUUUGGGUCAGCCUCUGUGGAGAGGGGGACGGAGAUUGAAAUUAGUCAUUUAAUCAGUCACAUGAGCACUGACUUCAUCAGUCAUGCCUGGGAAUGAAACCCCAAUAAAAGCUCCGGUCACUAAAGGCUGGUGGGGCUUCUUGGUUUACAAAUACAGUAGUCACCUGUUUCCCCAACAGAGAAUCCAUUCCAAGGUCUCCAGCAAAUAGUACCACACUCUAUAUAUGCUACUGAGGUUUUCAUCUGCUGUGUUUAAUCUAUAAAGUAAGCAUAGUAUCAAUAAUGAUAAUUAAAAUAAAACAACUGUAACAGUGGACUGAAACAAAUGUUAUGUGAACAUUCUCUUUCUUUGCCUCUCUCAGUCUGAUUGUUCCCUUCUUACCCUGCUUGUAAUGACCUGAGGUGACACAGUGCCACAAGCUGAAGUGAAGCAGGCACAGGUGUUGUGACAGAGCCUUGGCCUGCUACCUAAGGAUUACUUGACCACAAGCACCAUGAUACUGCCCGGAGCUGAGAUGGCUCUUUAGUGACUCGCUGGUGGUGAGUCAUAGCUGCUGAACAGUUAGACUGUUGCUCCAUAGCUGCAUGAUGACAACAUCCAGCACCCACUCCCACUGAACAGCUCUUGAGAAAAUAGGUGUGGUUGAAUAUUGCCUUAACAAGAUCGAAUACAUUUGCCUUAUCUCAGCAUCUUACUUAAGGGAAACACUGUAGGUUCUUACUAAAGCCAAGAAUAAGUCAAAGAUGCGUGCUUAUCGCUGUUACUAUUUGUCUUAGUGAAAGAGGGUGUGAUGGCGCAUGCCUGUAAUCCCAGCACUGGGAAGCUGGACCAGGAGGACUGCAAGUUCAACGCCACCAGGGACUGCUGAGUUGAGAAACAGCAGAAAGCAAACAAAUCAGUAAACCCAUCAUGCUGGAGGGUACAGGCAGUUCACUUUGAUGAGCCAAAGCAGGUAGAAGUCCUUGAAAAGCAGAGGUAAAGUUGCAUGUGAUACGAUUGUGUACCAGAAAAAUUUUAGAGGCUUAAAGAUAAAGCUAACAGUACAAGAAUUCAGCAAAGUAUCAGGACACAGUAUUAGUGUGCGAAAAAAGUAUUUGUAAAAUAUCGUUGAAAGACUUUUCACGAGAGAAGAUAAAAUACUUAAGUAUAAACUUAAGUGUUGAAAACCUAUAUUCAGAAACCUAUAAAACCCUUAGAUUUGAACACAUGGGUAGACAUGGUUAGUUAUCAGGGACCCCUGCAGUGGACCCCAGUCUCCUGCGAGGUGUUAUAGUGCACAGUGAAAAGAAAGAGCAAGAGACAAAAUGGUGAUGCGUGGGGAUCUGGGACGGAUAAUUGUUCUCAGGAACAAAGGGGCCAAGAGGUAGCUGGUCAUAUUUACACUGGGGGAAAUGGUGAGAGGAUUAUCAGGUGACUCGGAGGGCAUCGGUGAUCUUGAGCUAAUGAGCAUCUUAAUAUCGGUGAGGAUGGCAGGAGAGAUGGCAGGGUAAUACGUUUGUCUGUUCUGCCAGGUGAAACCUUUUAUUAUUAUUAUUAUUGGAACCGAUACCUUCAGCUGAUGUAAUCUGGCCCUGGAGUGGCACAGCGUCAGAGGAGGCCCAAACUGCUAUGAGCGGAGGCUGUCUGAGUUACAUUUCUGUGUUUCUGCGUACCGUAGCUGGCUCGCAUGCGAGACACUGGGCCUCGGACAGGCCCUCAUCACAAGUUAAUUAUGAAGUGUUUUCCCCCAAAGUAGAAUAGAAUGGCUGACAGUUCCAAUAGCUGAUCAAAAUAUGUUUGAAAAUCAAGUAUUUAGUGAGUGUUCUUUAACAAUAGGAACAUUUUAUUAUAUUUUAAGCAUAACAGCAAUUCCAAUGAACUCUGUUUUAGCAGCCUCUUUGUGGUUUGGUACUGAGGUUGAACUCAGGGGCAUGUUAGCAUUAAGCUACACCUGCAGCUCCCUUUCUUCUCUCUGCUCUGUCCUGCUCUUCUCUGUCCCCCACACCGCUCUGUCUGGCACACACUGUCUCUCCCUGUCUCUUUCUCUCUCUUUUUUGAGACAAGGUCUUGAUAUGUAGUUCUGGCUAGCUUUGAACUUGCUAUGCCACCCAAGCUAACCUUGAACUCUUAGUGAUCUUCCUGCCUCAGCCUUCCAAGUGCUGGGAUUAUGUACGUGGGCUACCAUGCCUGAUUUUUUUCUUUUAAUUUUGAGUUAGUCUGCAUUACUAAGGCUGGAUUUGAAUUUGGCUUGCUUCAAAUUUGGUGAUCUUAUUGCUUUAGCCUUCCCAAUGCUGGAAUUAUAGGCGUGCGCCCCCAUGCUUGGCAUAACUUCCUAAUUUUUAAGAAUAAUUCUAGUCUUAUUUGUCAGUUAUUUGCUGUUCUAUUACAUACAGUUAUUAUAUGUCUUCUAGUCCAAUUCAUAUUCAUUAGCAAUGUGUUUUAUAGUUAAAUAAGUAUUUUAAGCCAGUUAUAUGGGAGGUUAAGUUUUCUACAACAUAAAAGUCUUUAAUUUUUUUUUUGGACCAGGGAUCAAACUCAUAACCUCCCCCUUCCAAGCAGGCGCCUGUGCUGCUGAGCUAAAUCCCCAACCCCAAUAAAUGUCUUAUAUUAAGUGAUUUUCCCACAUUUAUCUGACACAAACUGAGUUACUAUGAAGUUGGGUCAUGAAAUUUAUGUUGCUAAUACUGAGUAAUAAGUAUUGAUUCUUGAUAUUUUGUAACAGAACUGUUUUUUAAUAAUAAUGUAUUACUGCCAAAAGAUGUCACUUUGCAUUUAUCAGCUAUUUUAUUAAAAAAUGCAAAUUUAAAACACUUUAUAUAUUCUUUAUCUGCAUAUGCUAAAAUUAAAAAAUGUUCAGGAGUUAUGUGCAUCAUUUUGUUUUGCUACAGGUUAGGUAGCUAAGUGACUAAGAAUGACUGAAUUAUGCUCAUCACUUUGUCUUUUUGGAAAAUAUUUCAGUAACGGAGAGCAUGAUAUUUUUUCAGGUAUCUUUUACUUUUGCUUCUUGUAAUGUUUCACUUACAAAAUGUCAUUGCAGGCAGUACUUGGGUUUUUUAAGAUUUGUUUUUAGCAUGUUAUUUUUCGUAGGAUUUAAAAAAUAUUUACAGAUCCAGGAAUUGAACCUGAUAUGUCUUUCUUACAUCCAUUUUUCUUCUAUUUUAACAUGCGUUUUCUUUUGGUUAGACUUUUAUAUUAGAAUUAUUUUGAAGUAGAAGAAUAUUGUAUAACAUACUUCGAGAAAAGUAACUCAAACAUAGUUGACAUUUAGUUGCAUGGGAAUACUAGGGAUUGAACACAGGGUUUGCAUUGAGCUGUGUCCUCAGCCCCUUUAAACAUUUAUUUAACUUUGAGAUAGAGCUAAAUUUGUCAGGCUGGCCUCUAGCUUGAGAUCUUCCUGCCUCAGUCUGCUGAGCAGGGUCACAGGCAUGCACCUCUGUGCUCAGCUGCUUGACACUGUUAUAGCAAAUGGGUAAGUCAUUAUUUUAAAUAUUUUCAUAGCUGUAGUAAAUUAAUGUAAAAUUGAGUAUUAACCUUCUUUUUGUGAAAAGUGGACAUUAAAAAAAUUCAGUGAAGCUGGGCUGAUUGUACCCUCCUCUCAUUCUAGCACUCUGGGCAGCUGUGGCAGAAAGAUUGCAAACUUGAGCCCAGUCUGGGGAAUGUAAUGACUUAGUGAGACCAUGUUUCAAAUAAAAGGGAAGGGAUUGGGGAAUGUAGUUCAAGAUAAAGGCCAAGUGUUCCAAUCCUCAGUACUGCCAAAAAGAGAAGUGGGGGUGGUGAGUACAUUGGCCAUCCCUAUGGUCCCAGCCACUCAGAAGGCUGAGGCAGGAGGAUUAUGUAAGCCCAAGGGUUUGAAACUAGUUUGAACUACAUCAUUAGAAAAAUAAUUAAAUUAGCAAAAUACUGAUUAUUUUUUAUCUUAUGUGUAUAUUGAUGAUAACAUCUGCACUGAUAUUUACUUACUCCCCAGCCUAGUACAGAGUUCUCAUAGCUCCUGGCAUUCAAUAAAUCUGAACUGAAUAAAUAAAAGCCCAGGGAAUGAAUGGAAGCGAAAUAAGCUGAACAUUGUCACAUAACUUUAAGUGAAUUUACUAGAAUUACCGCCAACAAAUUGACUCCAGUAUUUAGCCUUGAAAGGAACUCAAGGAAAAAACUACUUUUUUGCUGUUCUGUCUCCAAGCCCAGUUGCUUUGUCUGUCCACACUGCUUUCCUCUGGGAGCAUUCAUUCAUUCGACAUUCUGGGACAGUAGGCAUUUUCCUAGGUGUGUACUUACUAGCCACUGAAGGUGCCAGGCUCGAGAUUCAAAGAUAAAUAAUAGCACCUGUUUCCACGGAGCUUGUAAUCUGGUGGCUGCUCGUGAGCAGCUGGGGAGGAGCUGUGCAGUCACCGUUGCGCCAGCGUUGAACUCUGGGUGUUGCAGCCCUCAGAGUCGGGAGUCCCCACACCACGGAGAUGACUUCAGCCUCCUUGAGGGGCAGCGAGAUUGCAUCUAAUGAGAUGGCAGAGCGAGGAUUCUGCUGCGGAUUGGACGGGAAAAGGUGGGAAGACCUGAGGGCCACACAUUUAUUAGUUUUGUCCCAGUGGAGCAUUUUGUAGAUUGUCAUUGAAUUUCCUGGGAUGACAGGAAAGCAAUCAGGCAUCAUUACAUGGAGGGCCAUGCUGAGAAGAUUAGAGGAUUUUAAGUGGGUGAUGUGUUCAGAUUUUCAGUUUCGAAAGGGUACUUAACGUCACUGUUACGCGCUUAGAUUUCAUAAGAACUGAUUGUCAUGCUCUGGUUGUUACUUAAUACAAAAAGAAUUUGCGAUGCUGUCUGUGUCUGAGAUCUUCACGAGCAUUAUGUAACCUGUGUUCGUGGGUUACAUAAGCCUGUGUUUAUUGAGGUAGAUGUGAACAUAUUUUUUUGUUGAAACUUUAAAGAUUUAAACUUUUUCAAAGGCGUAACUUCAAAGUACAUUUUUCAUGUCAGUGUACUUCCUUAUAAGAAGUAAAAUGUGUUUUUCUGAGACACAGCCUUUAAUUCCCAGGGCAGGACUGUCCUGCACACUCUUUUCAUCUGCCACGAUGACAGCAGAAUUGGAGCGGGUGAUGGCUCUGUCGUGUUGGGUCCUCAGAUGACCCAUGAAGUAGAGGAGAAAAAGACCUUAUUAUUUCAGCUCCUGAUAGUUUGACAUUCUUUCCUGAUAAAUGUCACCUGAAUCCUACCAAACCUGUCUUCACUGAUACAACCUCUAUAUUGAAAAUGUUAUAGCUUGUAAAACAAUUAUUUUAGAAGAAAUCAUUGUAGAAGUACAAAGAUAAUAGAAAAAAUUUACCUGUCCAAAUGGAGAAAAUUGAAAUUACUACAACUCAGGUGUACAGUAAUGCAAGAGCUGUUCAUAAUAUGCAUAAAGUAUAAAAUGAGUUAUGCAGCUACGAAAGUCAUUUUGAGAGAUGCAAAAGCUGCCUUAUCUUUAAUUUACCAUGUAUACAAAAAAUGUGAUAUUAAGUCCAUUACAAAACUAGGUAAAAAUUGAAGACAUCUGUAAGUCAUAUAAGGAAUCUAAGCAGUUCCUUUGUAUUUUGGUAUUCACAGUUCCAAAACAGUUUAGUGUAUAUUUUAAAGUGAGGAAGGUAGAGAAAUUAGUAUUAAUUUGAAAAAUAUGAGUUGUUAAAGCACUUUAUGACAUGUUGAUGUCAACUCUGCAUAGCAUUUUUGAAAUGUAAUUUAGAGCAACCACCUAUAUAGGUACCUAAAUCUUUGUACAAGACAUUUGUGUGGUAGUUUGGUUGUUAUCAUAGCUAAUUGUGAAUAAUGAGUAAAAACUAUACAAAUAUGCAAACCACUAUCUGCUUAAGACUAUUAUCAUUUGGUGAUAGUAAAUUAGAUUUCCACACUAAAUGAUUCCUGUUAGGCAAUAAAAUUAAAACUAUAAAAAAUGCAGUGUAACUUCUACUGUAAAUAAACUAUUAGCAAUGAGCAUUACUGUGAGAACUGGUAGUAUAUGAAUUAUUCACUGCAAACUUAUUAUCUCUGUGUCAUUAGCAUGUAAGAUAAUGAAUCUAAUUAUCAUGGCUUUGAACUCCCGGGAGUUAGCAAAUUAUGUGAAGAACUUUCUGGGCUGUGGUUCCGGUUCCUACCCACUUGAGUAUUGAGAGAGCUGGAAACUCUGUCCCUCUGUGUUCUUUCUCCUCCCUUGCUUCCUUGUUGAUAUUAUAUUUAGGGUUAGAGUUUUGGGAUUUUCUCUUGCUUGAGCACCUUUUUAAAAGAGUGGUGAGAAAUUCUAUUUAUGUAUUUUAAUAUGUGUUGCUUUACUGUAAUUUAGCAUUGUAGAUAGACAAGAUAUUGUUGAUAUGAAUUCUUCAUUCAUGCAUAUAAGUUAGCAUCACUUAUUGGAGUAGAUUGCCAUAAAUAGUGCAAUUACUUGAAAAAUUUAGGUUAAAAGGUUAAUAAUUUUCUCCUCUAAAAGGAUUUGGACUAAAAUGAUUUACUUUCAGAGAAUUUGGGAUUAGCAUAUAACACCCUUUCUUAUCUUUAAUAUUGUGUCUUUGAUCUUCAUUUGAGGUUUUGAUGAACUUCUUGUUUCUAGUUUCUCUCUUACAUUAUAGUAUCAAUUAUCUGUAAUAAGUCAUCCUAAUUAAAGUUGAUAAAUCUACAACUGCUUCAAUUAUACACUAAUCAAUUAUACACUAAUUUAAUUCUACUUAGCAGGAUACAGUACAUCAUUAAUCGGUUUCAGACUUAAUAUAACAGAAUUAGGAGUAAUCAAAAUUUGGAGCACAUUAUUAGUUGGGGAAAAUGAAGGAUCAUAAUGUCUAGUAAUUCACAAUAUAAACUUGGAGGUUCACUGCUAAAAAAUGAUGGAGCGUAGCUGCUGUUUAUGUUUAUUGUUUGGUACCAUGGGCUAACAUGGGAAUGAUAUAUAGAAUCUUUAGAUAUUAAUCUUAUAAUACAAUUUUAUCCUACCUUCUCAAAUUUUUAUCAUUAUUUUCUCAUGGUACUAAAUGUAUUUUUUCCAUCACAUCAUUGUUCAAUAUAUGUAAUGCCUUAAAGCUAUACCUUAAGGGUUUUUUUUCAUGACCAUAGUGUUUUUUUAAGUAUGUAAUUUACAGUGGUUUCAUAAAAAGUUUUAAAAGCAAAGUUACAAGCAUCCUUAAAAUUUAUUUCUUUUAAGCCUUCCUGUCAUAAUGUGCAGAGAAUAUUAGUAGUUUGUUUUAAAUACAUAAGUAUAUGCACAAAUGUAUUUUAUGUUAUUAUGUUAGGAAAUAAGAUGAUUAGAUGUAAUUAGAAAAUCUCUAGUAAAGUGAUCUUUGUUAUGAUUUUUUUCUUUUUGAGGUGGUGACUUAUAUUUGCCACAGAAUUCUUCAGAAUGGGUUACAACAUAAUGCAAUUUUUUCUCAAUUAUCUACUCAUUAAUUUUAUUUUUUGUUUUUCGCUCUUUUUUGAGGCAGGGUUUCACUAUAUGAUUUAGGCUUGCCUUGAACUCAUUUUUUUAGCCUAGACUGGCCUUGAAAUCACAGUGAUCCUCCUGCCUCAGCCUUCCUAGUGCUGGGAUUACAGGCAUGUGCCACCACGCCUGGCUUAAUUAUCUACUCAUUAAAUAAACUGAUUCAGAUUGAAUUUCAUCACUUACUCUUUUAUACACACUCACAUGUUAGGAAUACUUCUUGCCUUGCCCAGCUGUAUUCCCAGUCAACUAGUAUUCCUUUGUUCACCUGUUUUUCUUUCUAAGAAUGUUCUCGAUAGAGCAUUUCGAAGGCCAUGUUAAGUGCAUUUUACCCUUUUGAAAAACUUAUUUUUAAAAUCAAGUUUCAAGGAACUCCAUGAGUUUUUAAUGGGUUGGAUCUCAAGGUAACUUUGUAAAAACUCACGUGAUUAGUUAAAAGUCAAAUAGGACAAAUGGUCUUUGUUUGGAGAAAGGAUCUCCCUAUGUAUUUCAAGCUGGCUUUGAAUUCUGUAGUGAUCCUCCUGCCUCAGGCUCCUCCAGUUCUGGGAGGAUAGGCAUGCAUUACCACAUCUGGUUUAGGAUAGAUGGUCUUUGGAUGAAGAGCAAAAGAAAACCUGCCCCACACUGCUCAUUACAGUACACUAUAUACCAUCUAUAGUGUAUAGAUUAUUUAAAUUUCUGCUUUUUCUCAUGUUUUGCUUCAUUUUGUUUGAGACAGAGUCUCACUAGACAGACUCUUACUAUGUAGUACAGGCUGGUCUUCAACUCACUCUAUAUAUGUAGCCCAGUGAUUCCGCCUACCUCAGCUUCCUGAGUGCUAGGAUUAUAGGCAUGCACCACCCUGCCCAACCUCCCUUCUCAUAUUUAAUGACUGUUUUAGUUCCUAAAUUGGUUACAGUGUAAUUUUAUUUAUUUUUGUUUUUUUCAAGACAGGGUCUUGCUAUGUAGUUCAGAUUGGCCUUGAACUCACUAUGUAGUACAGACUGGAUUUGAAAGUAUAGUAAUUCUCCUGUCUCAGCCUCCUGAGUGCUGGGAUUAAAGGUCUGUUCCACCCCAUUUGGCCCUUGCUGUAUAUAAGGUUUUUUUUUUUGUUGUUGUUGUUGUUUUUUAAGAGAAGGUCUCUCUAUGAAGUUCAGACAGGCCUUAAACUCACUGUGUACCCUAGACUGGCUUCAAACUGGCAGCAGUCUUCCUGCCUCAGAACCCCUUGUGCGGGGACCACAGGCAUGCUCCCACCCUUACUGUAUAAUUUUAAGUAACAAAGGAAAUCUUACAUUUCAUGCCGAGUGUCUUUUGAUUUCUAUUAGUUGAUAUAUCACCAAAGUUGGUAACAUUUAGAACAUUUAUGUACUAAAUGCACACUGUAAAAGACUCAUUAAUGCCAGAGGCUUCAAACAAGUAAGUCUCUUACCCUUUCCUUGGCUCUCCAGAACAAUACAAUACUAUUUGUUGUUCCAGUACUAUUUGUUGAUAUUAUCUUACUUCUAAACUUUAUGCUCACUGAGAUUUUCUUCAAAUCAAUUUAGAAUGUAUCCAGGAAUCUUUUAAUGGGGGCAGAGAACUCAGAUUAUAUGACAGAUCUACCCCCUUGCUUCUUGAAAAGUUACAUGAUUUUGGUCAACUCUGGAAGGCAUCUGUAAUCAUGCUUACAUUGUACUAACUGUAACUACUGACAGGUAACUAGGGUGUGACAUUCACUUGCCUCAGCCAUGUCGGGUCCCUGCUCCACCCUUGUGUUACUAUUGCUGUGUUUAUUUUUUGCUUAGUUUCCUGUGGGUCAGUUUUCUCAUUUCUCCCUUUCAGUGUUUUAACGAGUUUCUCCGACACCUCUCAUUAAUUCCUUUGCAACUGUUGCUCAAUCAUAUUUUCUCCUUCUCUGUUCCGCACUAAUAGGAGUUUACUUGUUUACUUUUCCAGGGUUGGUCCUGGGAAUUCUCUUUGUGGUUCUUUUGUUGGAUAAUUGGUUCCUUGCUUGAUUUUUCCUCUUAACUUAUUAUCUCCACAAUUUCUGACGCAAAUACUCCAUAGCUUCUGAAAAAGAGAAGUGAAAAAACAAAUUUUUGAGCUUGCAUAUCUAAAGCAUCUUUAUUUUAUAAUGUUAGAGUGAUAUUUCACUAUGGAAUUGUAGGUUGACAACUUUGUUCUCGACAAUUUUUUUUUUUUUUUUUUUUUUUUUUGGCUUUUUCAGACAGGAUUUCACUAUGCAAUUCAGGCUGGCCUUAAUCUCAUUUGGUAGCUCACACUGGCCUUGAAUUUGCAGUGAUCCUCCUGCCUCAGCCUCCUGAGUGCUGAGGCUACAGGCGUGCACCACCAUGCCCGGCUCUUGGUGUAACUGAAAGCACUAACAGAUUUUUAACAGACAGUAAAUCAUAUUUUCCAAGUACAGGAUGGUGUUUAAAGUGUAUAUAUGUAGUGCUCCCUUCGGCAGCAUGUACACUAAAGUGUGUGUGUGCGUAAUCUACUGUAGUGUGAUCCAGUCUAGCUACUAUAUCUUAGUUCCCGUUGCUGUCACUGUGCAUUUUUCAGGAAUCUGGUCUGUUGUUAAUGACAGUAACCAUGGUCUCCAGUGGAGCUCUUGAGCUUAUUACUUUUCCCUUAAUUGAAAUUUUACAUACUUUGCCCAACACCUCGCCAGCUUUGCCCCCUAAACUGGCCGUUCUACCCUCUUCCCCACAGAGACCAUCUUUUUAUACAACUGACAUAACGUGCUGCAUCUUCUGUGCCUGGCUUGUUUCACUGAAUGUGGCUCCCUCCAGAGUCUCUCCUGCUGUUGCGAACAGCAGGAGUUUCUUUCUUUUUCCAUUAUGACUAAAUAGGGCUCCCUUGUCCAGGUACCACAUUUUCUCUAUCCAUUUAUCCUCUGAUGGAUACCUAGGAUGACCCCAUAUCUUGGCUAUGGUGAAUGUUGAUUUUGUGUCUUGCUUUUUUGGGACCUACAGUUCUAGGGAUUAGUAGGAGUUUUAAUGGAUAAAAGAUGUAUUUAUAUUUCUGAAAAAGAGAAAGAUUCACCCAUCCAAGGUAACAUUUGAAUUUGGGGAUAGGCUUUCUUUAAAUGGAAUAUAGUGCUUAUUUCUAUUUUUAUGAAUAUAUUUAUUAGCUUUAGGUUUUAAAAACUAGGAGAGAACAGUGACUUAUACAUUUAAGGAGUCCAGCCAGCUAGGUUAAAUGCUAUUAAAAUUGUGUGCUAUGGUUGACCCUUGGUUAAAUGACGUGGUUCAGGGACCCAUGGGUUAUCUCAAAGGUAAUUCUCUCCUUCACCUCCCCCCCCCCUCCUCUUCCUCCUCUGCUUCUGUUUCUCAAAUACUGGAUUUCCACACAUAUUUGGCAAGGAAAUUAAAUAAGACAUCAAAAAGUCGUAAGAAAUGAGAACUCUUGUGGGUUUUUUCUUUUCCCAGGAAGUAGAAAAUAUUUUUAGUGACAGGUUAUGCUUCAUUGUGAAAAUACAGUUGGGUAUUGGAGGCCUUCACAAAUCUGAUUUCAGCUCAUUUAGCCGCGGAUGUUAGUAAGCUGUAGGGGAUGGCAGAGGUGAGAGUAAACGGGAGCCCUCAAGCUACCAGUCAGUCGUGUUCUGCACUUCAGAGGAUGGACCUCCUUGGUUUCAGUUUUGUGAGUUUGGCAGUGUGGGUUUCACCAUGUGGCCAGGCUGACCUGGAGCUCCUGGGCCCUGCAGAGCCUGAAGCUUACUCCUCGCUGGUGGCUGACGUGCAUGCACGAGCUGCCACACUCACCUUUGAUACUUUUUCUUGCAGAAUUACUCAGGUUGGGCUGGAUUUUAAUGACUGUCCUGCCUCAGCCUCCCAGGGUGCUGAGGCUACGGGGAGGGGCCACCACACCUAGUUUAUAAAGUUUUUUAAAUUACUGAUUUUUAGGAAAUCUUUGUAUAUGUUAACAAUUCCUUGAUUGCUUUUGUUGGCUGCAUCUGUAAUUGGUGUUUGAGUUGUCUUUUAACUUUGUCUUUUACUUUGUGUGCUUUUAAAUUCAUCACAGUUAACUUUUCUGUGUAUAAGAGAGGCAGAUUAUGAGUUCUAGGGCUGGGGAUAUAGUUCAGCGGCAAGGCGCCUACAUGGCAAGUAUGAGGCCCUGAGUUUGAUUCCCAGUUCCAAAAAACAAAACAAAAAAGAUGAUACAAGUUCUAAUGCUGAUCAUUUGGUCUGUAUCCCCACAUCAAUAUUGUUACCAGAUUGAGGGUUCUUUGAGGCUUUUUCCCCAGGUCCUCGGUGUCCCAAACAAAGAGCAGGAUAAGACAUACAGGAAAGGUGGUGAGGGUGCACAUUUCUUGAAUGUGGAGAAGAAGUCUGCUCCACUGGAGAGUGGGUUGAUGAAGAGACUCUUGCAGCAGCCUUAAGGCCAAGCAGGAAGGGAUCUUUACUCUCCCAGAUUCCUGGAUUGGCCCUGCCCUCUGGCAGUUAACUCACUGGGACCUUUGUCCUAUCAAAACCAACUUGGCCUCCCACCAUUUACACUGGCCAGAUGUAAAUGAAGGAUUCACGAUAGCAUCUUCGGAUUGGACCUGCGAACAGUGCCAGUUUGAAAAUAGCACUUUGGCUAGGCAUGGUGACGCAUGCCUGUAAUCUUAGCACUCAGGAGGCUGAGACAGGAAGAGCGCUCCAGGCUCGAGGCCAAUCUGGGCUACAUAGUGAGUCCUGGCCAGCCUGAACCGAUUGGCUCACGGUACUUAGGAAUCAUAAGCCCCAUGUCAUUUUGGGUCCUGUGGUCUGCAUUUAUCUUGUCUUCUUAGGAGACAUCCCACUCAACCUGUUAGCUGUGAAUUUUUAUGACCUUUGACACAUUCUGCCCAGUUGGGUGGCUGGUUUGCCCCAGCCUUAAUCUCCUGCCUGAGUGUGGCAUUUAAAAAGAACGCUGGUGAUUAGGUUCAAGUCCUUCCUCUAAAAUUGAUUUAACUGGUUGUGACUCAUAAAAUAUUAGAAAACAAUAGUAACAUAGUCAGCAAAAGUGAAUAUUUAUUUCUGUGGUAGUAUUUGGGAAAAACUGGGCUUAAUUACUACCAAAGAGUAAGCAGAAAUUAAUAAACUUUUGAAAAUCAGAACUUUCAUACACUUUCAAGUGGUGAAUUGAACCUAAUUUUUUCAAAUAAAAUCUUUAUUAUAUUUAGUGCCAUUUGUUCAGAGAUAUAGCUGAUUCAUUUGCCACUAAUUUUGUAAAUUAGAUUUCUGGUUUGACUGUAGAAUAAAAAGAAUUUUUUAAGAAAGUAGCCUGGGUCUGUGGGUAGUAAUUAAGUAAAUGGGUGUUGGAGUCACACUGCCUGCCCAGUGAUCUGUGAUUUAAAGCACCCUGAAGGAGGGCACUUAAGAGUGUUAGUUUUACAGAGUGCUUGCAAUGAGAAUGUAGGUUAAGCGUCCACUACUUGGCAAAGGUCAAGGACAUUUUAAGUAGUUAUUCCUAAAGUCAAUUUACAGUUGGUAAGAGAGGGAUGAGGGAGGAGAUUUAGCAAGAUAUAUCUGUACAAGUGAAUUAGAAAGAAAUGGCUUUUGAAAAACUUGGAACAGAGCAGAGUCCAAGUGGUGUGUCCUUCCUGCAAAGUCAGACCACGAGUCAGGUAGUAACAGCUAAGGAACACUAGGUGGCGCCAUUACCCUAGUCUGCUUCUUAGAAUUCUCAGGCUGAGAAGCUGUAGGGCAGAAAAGUGGAAAAAGGCAGUCACAAAUCAAGGGUUUAAUCAGGCAAAUUUGUGCAUUGUUUUAUUGGUUAUAAUUCAAAGUAAUAUUGUAGUUCUGGAUAGUCUCCUCUAAUGAUCAUUUUGAAGAAUUUCUAUUGAGAUUUGUGUUUUAAGGCAGUUUGUCCACCAAAUGAACUAUAUUGUAAAUAUAGCAAUCCAUUCCUUUUUAAUUUUAAAGAUUAUAUAUAAAUACAUUUAUAUUCAGAAUUCAUUAAAACAAGAUAGUCGAAGCUUUCAUAUCGAAGUGAUUCAGUCAGAAGAAACUUGAUGUUUUAAUGAGCUUGAGUGUCCUUACCCUAGGUGGGUGUACGGUUCCAUUUAACUUUCUGAAAUCCUAGAAAAGGUUCCUUUGGGGGUUGGGGAUUUAGCUCAGCGGCAUAAGCGCCUGCCUUGCAAGCAGGCAGUCGUGAGUUCGAUCCCCGGUACCGAUAAAAAGGAAAAAGACAAAAAAAAAAAAAAAAAAAGAAACAAGAAAAGGUUCCUUGAUUCCUGUCACUUCAGGAUUCCAGACUGGGAAUGACUCAAUCCAUUAUUUAAUUUGUGGAGAUAAUUUAGACGAGUGAUGGCAAACCUCUAAGAGCUUUUGAAGAUAACAAAGAGCCCGCCGUGGCACGUGUGCCACAGGUCCACCACCACUGAUUUAACUGUUAGAGUUUUGUUGAUACACCCGUUUGUUCAAGUGAGAGAAACCUUAAAUGGGCUUGAGCGAAUGGAAAUAUUUUUGGUCAAAGAACUGAAAAUCUAGGCAUGACUAACUUCAGGAGAAGCCAGUCAUUCGAAUGAUGUUACUACUAGCCGUUUUCCUUGGUAUCGGUUCUGUUGCACACCGGGUGGGUUGCUGUCCUCAGCUGAAGGCUUAUUUCAUCUUCUUCCUGUCUGUUCUCAAGGCUCCAGAAGAGCUGCUCACUGGGGCACGCUAGGUCUGUCUGUCUGGCUGGCUCGGGCUGCCUUCCUAAUCCCACAAUCGGAGAUCCAGUUUACACCAGUGGACGCAUAUGGAUGAAGUGUUGAAACGAUGGAUUCUAAAAGCCAAUUUGGAUCAUGUUACGGGAAUAAAGCAGAGUCAGGAAUUAAUAUCUCACUUCUCUAAGAAAGUUUUCAUUCCUUUAGUUUUAUGUCACUAGAAUUUGCUUUUGUUUUAAACUGUUUUGUUUGAAUCUUAUCUCUGCUACUAAUUAGUUGUAUGGUUCUCCACAUCCGCUUCCUCGUUGGCAAUAUUGGCAAUGUGACGCCUGUUGGUACACCUGGCCUGCUGCCUGGCAUUAUCGGAUCGCCCAGAAUUGUCGGUUCACUUACAAGCAGGGUGACCGACCAGACGCUUUUGGAUCUUAUCAGGCUUGCUGUGUGUCUCAAAUUAGUCUACAGUCUGUGAAUGUCACAAACGUAAACUCAUCAUGGUCAAUUAAAGAUUAUCAAUUUAAUUUACUAACUUAGUGCUUCAAACGACAGUUGGUAGAUUCUGGCCUAUUUCUGACUUAUUUGUAUUUUUAUACUUUAUAGAUUUGGCUUCUGAAAGGUUUUUGUAAUUAAUCUUUGUUGAGAAAUAUAAAUUGUCUUUAAAGACUAGUAAUAAAUAUAGUGAAAUUAUGAUAAAUGGGUUUAUUGCUUGGGGAAAUAAUAUAAACUGCUUCAUGUGUUUGAAGAAUGUAGGAAGUUGGCAGCACGGGAGAAGGAUGAAUGAUUAAGUAUGUUUUAACUUGUUUUUUAAUUAAAGUUCUUCAUAGCUGUGUAUAGCACUCAGAAAUGUAUUUUAAAUGUAACAAUAAUUUUUCAGUUCCCAUUCAUCUUCAUUAGCAAAUAUUACUUGUAUUCAUCAUAAUAUUUUAUCCUCACCAAGUAUAAGGCUUUUAUAAUCCAUUUAGGUUAACUGGUGUGCAGUCAAGAAAAAAAGCCUCCAUAAUGGCUUUUAAAGUAUGUAAACAUUAUAGAUUUAGUAACUCACAUUUCUAAUAAUUAACAACUCAAUGAAACUCUGGAUAACGAUUGAGUAGAACUAAUUAUUUUCCUUAAAAUAAUAUAGUAGUUCAUCAUUACUUGACUUCUGGCUAUCUGAAUCUAGUUCGCUAUACUCUGUGUUAUAGUAGUGUCUCAUUCAGAAAUGAGAAGUACUAAUGCAGAGUGCAAAAAGUUCUUUUCCUUAAUUUCCACCAUAUAACAUUUUAUAGACACAGAUGAAGCCGCAGGAGACACGAUGUGUUCAAUCGUUCCCUCCUUAGUAUUGUGUUUGAUUUUUGCCCUGUGUGUGCUUUGUUUGUGUUUCAGUUGUAAUUUAUCUUUAGGGAAAUCAUGUUACACAGGUAUAUAGGCAGUAAGAAUAUGAGAUGCUAACAAGGAGAAGAGAUAGAAAUCUCUUCUGAUGGUAAUUAAAAGCAGGGAGAGUUUGAUUUGUUCACUCGGAGGAAGGGUCUGGAAGGACAGGCAAACGGCUGCACUCGUGAGCAGUAGUGUGCCUGUGACCCGGCGAGGUGUUCUUUUAGCGGGUUAUGUCUUUUGACAUCUCAGAAAUUAAAAGAAAGACAGUUAAGAAUAUUUAACACUAUUUUUAACAGCUAUAUUUAAAAAUAGCUAUAAUAAGGCCGACAUAUAUUAAUACAAGCACACUCUUUUUUGGUGAAAAUAACUGCUUUCCCAAACAACAACAACAACAACAUAGUAAAAAUAGUGGUACUGUUUUACGGGUUUGCAGAUCUCUUUAAUGUCUUACUUCAUAGAAGACAGCUGGAUUCUCACCUGUUUCUGCAUUCAAUCUAUUGAAGUUUUUUAUUUUGUUUUGUUUGAAAUAUACAUGAGCGAAAUAAGGCCUCACACACACACACACACACACACACACACACAGCAGCGGCUGCUGCUAAGAACACACUGAGUUAAUCCGUGGAAACACGCAUCAUGACACUCUAGACCGAUUCCCUUAAAAUUUCGUUUAUUUUUUUUUAUUUUAUUCUUUUUUUGUCAUUUUUUUUCCUUUUUAUUGGUACCAGGGAUCGAACUCCUGACUGCCUGCUUGCAAGGCAGGCGCUUAUGCCGCCGAGCUAAAUCCCCAGCCCCUUUUUUUUAAUUUUUAAUUUUUUUUUUGUCUUUUUUUUUCCUUUUUAUCGGUACCAGGGAUCAAAGAUUCCCUUAAAAUUUCUUAAAGGAAAACAAAAGCCAAACCUUGAAAAGCUGAGAACAACACAAGCAUCCAUUCCGUUACCUACCGGAAUGCUAUCAUUACAUGGUAGACUGUGAAACUCCACGUUAAAGAAUAAAAUUGUAAAAAAGAAAAACCAAAUGCCUUUAACUUCUUGGAGUCUCUGAAAGGGCUUUGAGGACUCUUUGGUCCUGGUACCAUAUCGGAGAGCUGCCGGCCUGCGUGAUGGAACAUAAUCCCUGAGAGACACUGGUGGAAAUUCCUUUGGAUUUAUAGCAGGGCCUGGGCAUCCAUAUCAGAUGUCUUGUUGAUCUUAUGUUAAAAGACCAUGAAUCUGAGAAUUUAAAGGCUCCGUAAGAAUGUACACACUGCUGGUCAAACUUGUCUUCCGCAGAGAUAAUUAUGUGGGCAGAAGGCCCUUAAAAAUGCGGUGCCGCCAGAGGGGCAAAGCAGCCAUUGCGGGCGCCACAGCUGCUGGAGAGUUUAUUUUGGCACGUGUGAAGACAUCAUAUAGAAGAAAACAGUUAUUUCUUAUGACCAGCUUUAAUAUAGACAAAAUUGGAAUACUUAGGGCGAAAAAAGCCAAGCGAAAUUCCUAGAACAGUGAGUUAGGAGUGGAGAACAGCAAUGUAGUCGUUAUUUGGCAGGAGUGUGAUAGGGACUGGUCACUUUAUUUCAAGGAAAAAAAAGAACGGAACCUACUUCUAAGCAGGGCCUUCUGUAUUGAGAAUUUUUCUUGGUAUCACAGAUAUUUAUCUCACUGUCACGUUGUGGGGGUUUUGAUGCCUCCGAAUUGGCAGUUGUUCAACCGAGGCUUGGAGACAGAAUAGACCUCACUUAGAUUUGGCAGUAAUUAAGUGUCAGUCCUAAUGUGGAAAUUUCAGCUCUAACACUAUUGAUUAAGCGCUGAAGCCACUUAAGUUUUCAUGCUUAGGGAUUCAAGCUCUCUGUAUUCUACAUUUUUAGUUAGGUAUAUUUUAAGGCAAUUUUCCUUUUAAAUGUAUUGCUUUUUUCUUUCUAAUAGUGCAUCAAAAUUAUAAUUACAGUACUACAUUUGGUUUGGCAAAGCCAUUUUACAUUUUUAUAUUAGCUUAAACUUCCCAUUGAUAUGUCAGGCAAAUAAAUACUGCUUUUUUUGUGUAGAAAUCAACUGCACUACAAAUCCACUGGUACUAAAUUAUUUGCAGGCAUUUAAAUGUAGGGAAACCUUAAUUAUUCUGAGUAUACUUGUGUUAUGAUGUGUGGAUGAUUUGUUUACUUGUCUUUAAUGUGACUCAGUCAAAAUAUAUGUAGUUAUUUGCAUAAAGGGGAAGUGUUGCUAAAUAUCUUGCUUUACUGAAUGUUACUGUAAAAUUAAUUUUCCUCAUAAGGGAUACAAGAAAUGUAUUCACUCAUUUCUAUUUCUUCUAAUUAAUUUCUAUAAAAAUAUAGACUUAGUACUUUUAUAACACAGGAGCAGUAGAACAAAAUGGUAGGGAAGCAGUAUUGGUUGCUGGCAGGAUCCGAAAAGAUUUGAUAUCAGCAGUCGGUCUCAAUCUCCCCAUACACAGCCGCUGUAGAAAGGCUGGUUGAUCGUGACUGUUGACAUUGUGACCUCCUAUCUGAGCAUCUUUAAUCACAGAGCUGCAGUAGUGCUGUUCUUUGAAUUUCUUUUUCCUCCAGUACCAGGGAUUGAACCCAGUGCCUUUGCAUUGAGCUACAUCCCCAGCCUAAUUUUUAUUUUUUAGACAGCCUCUUACUAGGUUUCCCAGGCUGGCUCCAACUCACAGUCCUCUUGCCUCAGCCUCUCAGAGGGCUGAAAUUACAGGCCGGCACCAGCGUCCUGGGUUUAAGAUACACUUAUUUCAUUUCCCAGCUGACACCGUCUCACAGCACUUACGUACCAGCUGAUGCAGCUUGUUUUCUGAUUUUACUGUCAUUUCCAUCAGCUACGGUGGAAACCCCUUAAAGUUGGGAGCUGCAUCCCAUUCCGGCCACAUGGCUGGUACACGAAGGAACCUAACUCCUAUUAUAUAAAGAAAGAAGGAAGACUAUAUUUAAAAUCUGCCUGAUGAAGGCAUUGUAAAUGUGCUUUAUUUUUUUAUUUGAAUUAUAGUCAAAAAUAGUAUUAUAUUUACUUAAUUUGAUAAUCCCCAAAUGGUAGUGUUUUACUGCUCUUUGUUGUGAUAGGUAAGUUCUAGGGCAUACGUGUGUAAUUCCAGUCAGUUAGGUGUAAAGUCUUACACUUACAGAAGUUGGCUUGCUUUGCCCGAGUGUCACGUCAUUUAAUACCGGCCAUCACUUUUUCCAUGCUUUUAAGAACCUUUGCUUCUAAGAACCUGGUACAUGAGAACCAGCUCCAAGCUGGGCACAUGCCUAUAAUCCCAGCACUCAGGACGCUGAGGCAGGAACACUGCUGUGAGUGCAGGGUUAGCCUACACUACAUAACAAGACUGUGUCUCAAAAGAACGAGCUCUAACAGCCUUUGCCAGGGUUUUAACUGCUUUGUCAUAGAUUUGACUUCAAUAGUGAUCAGAAUUAAAAGUCCACAGUAGUCAGGUGUUGCUUAACUGGGAGGCAGUGGUUCAGAGGGCAAAAUUCCACAUCCUGGCGGCUCAGUAGUGGCUGCUCCCUGGAGUUGGAGGCUGAUGGUAGAAGAUGGUUUAUAAAAGCAGACUCCGCAGGGCAAGGGGGAUGAUAGGAUCCUGGGAUAGUAAAAGCUUGCUGGUAACACUUAGCAGGGAAAAUGGAUUAGUUUUCUGUUGCCACCAUAACAAAUUGCUACAAACUGAGCUUCCAGACGUACCUUUUAUGAUCUCAUAGUUUAUAGAUCUGUCAUAGUGUAUCUCACUGAGCCAGUUCUCUGCUCUGGGACCCCCAAUUUUUUUCAUGAGAUGAGGUCUCACUAAGUUGCCCAGAUAGCCUUGAACUUGAGGUCCUCCCCCAUCGGGCCCCUGAGGCACUAAGGCAUAUCCACUGUGUCCUUCACCACGUUUCAUGAGACUGAAAUCAUGAUGCUGGCAGAUUGUGUUCUUUACUCGGGACUCUAGGGAUGAAUGUUUUCAAGCUUAUGCAGGUUGUUGGCUGGAUUUAGUUAUGUGUAGUUCUAAGACUGAAGUUCCCAGUUGCUUCCUGACUAGCGGCCAAAGAUCUUUUUACGUGUUCAAUCACCACUGUGUCUGUAGUUGUAUGUGUGUUUUUAAAAGCGUAGAACUUUAUUAUACCUUUGCUUUCUAUUUCAUUGAUUUUUCCCCAUCUCCUUUUAUGUUUUUUGAUUUAUGUUUUUCUUUUCUAAUAUCUUAAUGUGACCACUCAGCUCAUUUGUAGUCUUUUGCCCUCCUAAGGCAAACAGUUAAGGUUUUCCAUUUUCUUCACAACUCUGUGUGUAAUCCAGAUUUUGGGAGACAAAUGUUUCAAUUACUCAUUUCUAAGUAUUUUUAAUUUCGUUAUUUCUUUUGAGCCCAUUAAUUAUUUGGGAUUUUUUUUAAAAUAUGUAAUUCUAAAAAAUUGUUUUUUAUUGGGAACCCAGCCAAGAGUCCCGAUUGUCAGUCUCAAGAAUGUCGCGAAAAAAAUAAAAAACAGAGACAAGUAUCAUAUUCCAGCAGUGGCUGGGAAGUCAAUGUCUCUGGGUUUGACCUCUCCACUCCCAAAACAGCCACUAUUUAUUUGGUCUAUACAGUGAUAGGUGGGGCCAGCACAGGAUUACAAUUCAUCCAAAGACUCUGACUCCAGAGGGUGUAGAUAAUUUUAUGUUUGAAGUAGCUUGACAGAGUAUAAUCCUGUGAUGAUUUAAGAAGGCGUAGAUGAUCCUAUGCUUGGAAGAGUCUGAUGGGAAAUCCCAGAUGGGUGAUACAAACAAUCUCAGUCCUUCCUUUCAUCCCACAGGGAAAUAUGCAAAGCCAGGCACUGAAUUGUGGUCCCCAGCAGUUUCUAAGCUGGGUGUGGUGGCUCACACCUGUAAUUUUAGCAUGUGGGAGACUGAAGCAGGAGGGUCGCUGUGAGUUUGAGGCCAGCCUGGGUUACACAGUGAGUUCAAGGCCUGCUGGAACUACAUAGCAAGACCUACAUAAAUAAAUAAUAAAAAUAAAAUAAAUAAAUAAAAAUAAAAAGUUGUUUUUAAAAUUUCAUCUCAUAUUUUUUAAGAACGAGGCAUGUGAUAUCUGUGCUUAUAAAUUGAAAGAAAACAUUUAAUUUUUUAAUACCUGAUUAGUUUGUGUACUUUUUUAUUUGUGUUUGAUAAAAACAUGAGUUCUUUAAUUGGUGGGUGCUGAAGUCUGUUUAUUCAAAACGUCAUUAUGUGAUUGGCUUUUGUUUUUUUGUUUUUAACCAGUACUAGCUAUGAACCCUGGCCUCCUUUCUGCCUCAGCCUCCUAGAAUGCUGAGAUUACAGGCAUGUGUCACUGUACCAGCUGAGGGUCUUCUUUUUUUUUUUUUUUAAUAUUUAUUUUAGUACUGGGAAUUGAACUCAUGACCUAGUGCUUACCAGGUAGGUGCUGUGUCACUAAACUAUGUCCCCAGUCCUGAGGAUCUUUUUUUAAAAAAUCACUUGCUUUUCUCUUUUCUGCAGAAUGUCUGCUAAUAUCUUACCUCUGUGCAACUUUUUCUUUUUUAGGGGAUUAUUAUUCUAGUGAUUUCUGGGAAUUUUUGUUAUAUGUUAGGAAUAUAAGCCAUUUGUCUAUGACAUGACUCACAAACCUUUUUACAAGAUUGUAGUUUGAAUUUUUGUUUUUUUGUGCUUGCUAAGCAAGUAUUCUACCACUGAAGUACAUCCCCAGCCCUGGAUGUUUGUUUCAAUGAUUUUUGCCAUGGAUAAUUUUUAUUGUUAUAUAAUUGAACGCAUUGUUUCUUUUAAGAUUUCUAAAUGCAUUUUUAAAAUGUUAAAUAUCCCACUCAUUUAUCCUUUUACUUUAUUUUUGACAGUCAGCUAUUCAUCUUGUUGUUCUAUACUGUUUAUCGUCAACUCUUUUUUCUUCCAUAUUAUCUUAAGUUAUCACUGUUACCAUAUGUUAGGAACUAAAUUUUUAUGCUUAUUCUGGUUUACCUGUGGAAUUUCUUUUAUAUUUUCAUUGGUGUGGUUUUUAAAUUUUAUGUACAAAUUUAAUUACUGGAUUAUUAUAAUAGUUUUAUUUUGAAUUGAACUGUUUUUCUGUUUAUUCCAGCAUUUCAUCAUGUUCUGUUAUCUGACAGAUCCAUUCCACAGAAACAGAAACUAUUGCUUUCAUGGGGGGAUUAUGUUAAAGUUCAGAAUUCAAAGGGAAGGGAUCAAGAGAUGAGUGGAGGGGAGGGAGGGAAGGGAAAGGGAUGGAAAAAGAAUUAAGAUCUGUUAUGUACACGAACCAGCUUCCUGCAAAGAAUGUAAACAUGAUGUACUGUGUAUAUGUACUGACAGAUAAAAAAUUUUUAAAAAUUAACCUAAGGUAGGGCUGGGAGUGAACUCAAUGCUAGAGCACUGGCCUAGAUUUCAGUUUAGUUUUAUACAUUGCAAAUCUUAUAGUUAAAAAAGUAAGUUUAUCUUUUUAAAAAGUGUAUUUGUGAAUCAAAAUGUAUGUUUUGCUUUGUUGAAACAGUGUCUCACUUUGUGGUUCAGGUUGGUCUUGAACUCACUUUGUAGCCCAUACUAGUCUGGAACUCACAGUGAUCCUUCUGCCUCAGCCUCCCAUGCUGGGAUUACAGGCUUGCACCACCACUCCUGGCCUUGCUUUUGUUUUAGACAGGGUCUCACUAUGCAGUUCAGGCUGGCCUUGAACUCAUUAUGUACUCGAGGCUGGCCUGAGACUUGUGAUCCUCUCGCUUAGCCUCUGAAGUAAUGGGUUACAGGUGUGCACCACUGCACCUGGCCAGAAGUACUACUAACAUUUCGUAUAUGUUUACCCAUCUGCUAGUAGGUUCAGUUAAUUAAAAAAAAUUUUUUAAAGCGAUGCAAUAAGCUUCAAGUAGUAAUGCAUUUCCCUCUUAAUUUCCAAUGUUUUUAACUCUAAUUUGCUUCCUUUUGUUUAAUGGUAUUGGCUAAUAUUUCAAUAUGGUGUUAGGUAAAAAUGGUAAUAGUGGGCAUCCUUGUUUUAUGGAUAACUUAGAAAAUCAAUGAUACAGUUAUACAUUCCAUAAUGUAUUUUCAGAAAGUAUAUUCUUACAGAUUCUUUCUGAAUUUCUUCUAUUGGAUCGUCCUGUUGCAUUUUAUGCUUUUCUUCUUACUGCUACGUUGCUUUUAGCGGAGCUUACAGCAAAUAUUUGUAAUUGUUCGAUGCCAUUGUUGACUACUCUAUCUUCAUUAGUUUACAAUACCUGCUGACUAUUUGUUUCUUAAUUUUACUAAAAGGAAGAUGCGGUUUUAUCUAUCCUUGAUUUGUGUGUGAAUUCCAGUAUGAGGAAGAAAAAAGCCUACCAUCAGUGUACACACUAAAGGUUAUGAAAAUUGACCCAUACCAGGUAUUGUUAGGAAAAAGAAAGUAUCCUGAACACAUUUGUAGAAAAAAAAAAAUUCAGCUUCCAGUAAUGAUCAAAACUCAGAAUGGCAGCAGAUUUUAUAACAGCAACACUGAAAAUCUGGAAGCCAGUGGAGCAUCGCUUGGAAAAUGCAGGGGGAGUUUUGACAAAAACAAAAAUGAGACACAGUGCUGAGGCCUGGGAGGGCUUCCCACUCAGAAUGCCCACUUUAAUAAGCUGGUUUUAUAAAACUAGUAGCCAAAGAGAAGAAUAUGAUCACUAAAAUCUUAAGUACUUCAAUUCCAUGCAGGGACUGAGAAGAACAGAGUUGUAUCUUAAUUUAGGAUGCUGCCAAUCUCAUUUUGAAACUACUGUCUGGAAUAAUUUAACGAUUUAGGGAAGGUAUCAUUUCUAACUCCCUACCUUCUAGGAACCAACGUGGAGAAUAAAAUUGGAAAAUCUCAAAUUGUGGUUUGUUGAAUUUCUUUCUGCCCUCGUAUGAUCAGUGUAUUUUCCAGUUCUCAGUUUUCCCCUCUAGAAAGUAGCCCUGGGGUUUUGGCCUUGAUGCAAAGGGGCGGACUGUGUGGGAAGUACGGAGAGGCUCUCGGAGUCUGGCUGCUUCUUGAAAAUUUUUGGUUUUUCUCAGCUUCUGUGCCCUGUCUUCGCUCCCAUUCCUGGAGAUCUAUAAUGCCACCGUGUACUACUUUUUGGGGUGCGGCAGUGUAAGUUUGCUUCCCGGCUUGCUUGUGCCUUUCUGCACUGCUGUUCAGGAUUCAGCUUCCUGCAGUCUGUGGAGUGAGUCCCAGCUCCUCACCCUGCACUGCGGUAUCCGUGUUACUGUCGUCUCCUUUUUUGUUCUUCUUGUCCCUGAGAGUCACUUUAUUGAGAGUGAGAGUUCUGGAGGAAAUAGACAUUCACACAUGUGUUGAAUCAUUUGUUUUCACUGGAAGUUUGGCAUGUAUCUUGAAUUACAGCUUUUAUUUUGUCUUAAUUUAGUUAGAAAAUUAAGCCUUCAAAUGAGAUGCAUAUGCAUGUAAGCAGAAUUGAGACAUUAAAGGUUACAUGUGUGAUUUUUUUUUCUUUUCUUUUUACUUUCUUUUUCUUUUCAGUACUGGGGAUCAAACUCACAACCUCACACUUGCCAGGCAGGUACUGUGCCUCUGAGCUGUAUCCCCAGCCCUGUAUAAUAUUCAUUUGAAGCAUUUAAUGAAAAUUUAGUUGUAUUAUUAUUGCAUUGUGUGAAAAUAAUGUUGAUGCUUUACUUUUGAUGCUGUUGAUUUGACAUCUUAGUUUUAGAUGGAAGUUAUGUUCUUUAUUGGGUUCUGUGUUCUUCUUUACUUUCAGGGACUAAUUCUGAAUCACUUUACCCCAAUCAUGGUUAUUUUAUUCCCUUUGUUCAUCAUCUAAUAAUGAGUGGCCAAUAAGAUUGAAGAGCAAAUUCACUGAGAAACUUGUCCUUUUCUUUUAUCUUCCUCCUCCUCCUCCUGUUCUUCCUCCUCUUCUUUGUAAAUAGUUCCAAGGAGACAGACUUGGUUCUGAUCUUCACAUAUUAUAUAAAGUCAUGCUUAUAAACUAGUAUAGCUGUUUUGAAACCAUUAGAGGACAAAAGACAGCAGACCAAGGUUGGCACAGGAGAAUUGGGAAGGGAGUUAGAUCUGUGAUGAGAUUUUAAACCACUAGCUGUGGUCUGAACAUUUUCUCCUGUGAGAUAAUAAUUGUCUGAUUGGCUGAGAAAAACCAAUCAAAAUAAAUACUGCUCAUAUCUGGCUAAAAAGAAACCCUAGGUAAACAUUGUAAAGUUUAGAUUAUAUAAGUAUGAAGAUCAAAAGUAUAAACUUUAGAGAAAUUGAUAAUUCUUGUUUUUCAUUAAAAUAUACUGAAUUGAAAAUUUAUGGCAUGUUCUUUCAUUAUUGUGUCUUUGUCCAUAAUUUGUAUACACCUUUUUAGUUGCUUGGUAAAAAUGAUGAUUUUAACCUUUUGUUUUAAUGUGAUUUAGAUUGACCUGACACUUUAAUAAAUCUGACUCCUAUAACUGAUUAAAGAAAAAUUCUAUUUGCUGAAAUACACACAUUUUCUCUAUGAAGUUGGUUUUCUUUUUUAUCUAUGACUCCUUUGCCAAAUUGUAUGAAGCACAUGUUUUUGAUACUGGUGUUGCAUUUUUAAUUAAUAUUUCAGAUGCAAAAGGUGACAGUUUAAAAGAUUGUUUUGUUAGUGGGUUAUCCUUAAAAGCAAGUGGCAUUUGGUUUUAUUUUACAAUAGAAUUUAAUCUUACAUGUUUUUUGUUAAAGUAAUGUUACCAAAAAAUCUCCUAUUGAACUAUUUGUGGUGAGCUUUUUAAGGAUGUUUAAGAUUUCACAUGCAGUUUAACUGAUCACAGAUGAGGUUGUAAAUUAAUACCUCAUGAGCGUAUUUGACUGCAGGGCUUUGUUUAUGAAUCAAAACUGCUUUGUUCCUGUAAACUGUGAAAGGGGCUUAAGCAUAUGGAUUAAAACUGCAUGGUGACACUAAAGUACUUAUGAAAAGACGCUGUAGCGGGAUCAUUUAAAAUGUACUAAAAUGUUAUGAAUAGCCAUAAAAUGUAAUAAUUCCCUUAAGCUUUUUAAUAGUUAUAAGAUUUAGUUUUAUUUCUUUGUUGGAUUUAACCACCUUAAUAAAGAAAUUGUUUUGUUGCUUUUAAAGCUGCAUGUAGUAAUAAGAAUAAGCAUUGGCGUGGCAUGCUGAUGAGAACAGCUGAAUUUUCCUCAAAAACAUGUAUUUUUGCAGGCAUUCUCAUGGCCAUUUGAAUCAUGCCUCCUUCAUAAAAUUAUGACAAAAGUAGGUGUUUGGCCCUAAGUUUUAAUUUACAAUUCAUGUAAAAACCUGGUGUAGAAUGCACUCUUCUGGGUGUGACAAACUGUCGAGGAUCUUUUGAGAAAAUACCGGAGCAUAGUUAGGGACUUGCUCUGGAAGACAGUGCCAAGUUCUGACUUCGUGGAGCAGAAGCAGCAUUCAGCCGGCCUAUUGAGUCAGUAAAGCUAAUACCUACGAGAGUGUUAGGAAGCUUUGGGAGUUCUUCACUGUGUACCUUUUUAGUUCCCACCAUGUUCCUAGAAAACAGUGGCACUUACUGUACACAUAUUCUGUUUUGUACUAGCUGGUUAGUUGUUCUCAUGUAGAUGAAAUUUCCAGUACCAGAUAUCACAUUACCUUGGACUCUUCCAUUAUAAUUACCUUUAUUUCCAUUCCAUUUGGUCACUCCAUUUAUUUACUUCUUAUGGAGACAGGUUUCACUAUGUAGCUUAUGCUGGCCUUGAACUUCCCUGUAUAGUCCAGGCUGGGCUUAAACUGAUUGUCCUGCCUCAGUUUCUCGAGUGCUGGGGUUACAGGUGUAUGCCACCAUCCCUGGCUGUUUAAUUUACUGAGAUAAGAUCUUGUCAUGUAUUCCCUGGAACUUUCGGUGAUACAUAUGCCGCAGAAUCUCAGUUGCUGGGAUUACAGGUAUGUGCCACCAUGCCUGGUGAGCACCCCAUUUUAUGACCCUGUUCUAUGCCUAACCCCACCCAGAAUAUUUAUUAAAAAUGUCCUUUUUAGCUCCUUCCUAGCUUCACUUUACUCUGUUUACACCCAACCCGAGUGAUGCAGUAAUUUAUUUCAGGAGCAUCCUGUCAUUUACUCUCAAUUUUCUCCCUUGACCUUGUCAGUUUCUUAAUCUGGGUCAGUGUAAGUGUGCAUGUUGCUUCUGGACUUGUUAAUCCAAUUAACUUAUUUUGUCCUCCCAGCUUUGUUUGGCCAGCUUUGCGACCUACUCUUAAACCUUCAUAAUCAGGUUGUUUACCAGUGCCCUUCCUCCUUUGUGUACUAGGGAUUGAACCCAGGGCCUUCACACUGACCUAAGUCUCCAGCUCAUUUUAUUUUUGUAUUUUGAGAGUCUUGCUAAGUUGCCCAGGUGGGAUUCAAACUUGUGAUCCUCCUGCCUCAGCCUCCCACUGAGCCAGGGUUACAGGCACGUGCUCACUGCCUGUCUUACCGUUUCUUACUGCCUUCUGAAAUGGCUCUCAGAUCUUACCCUUCUUUUUUAUUUCAUCUCUGGUGCCCUCAUCUUCCUGUUUCGCCUUAAGUGCCAUAGCGCUCUCUCUGGCUCCGUUCCUCCUCUGGCUCUCUUUCUCCAGUUUUCUGUUACAAUCAAACAUGAGAAACUGGAUGCCUGACUCCUGUCACAUCAACUAACAGACGCUCCUUUCAAUAGUGAUCUUCAGUAUGAGGUGCCAAAUCUUCUGGGUCUAUGUAUUAGCCUGUAUUUGCUUUUAAAAACACCCUGAACAUGAUCUUUUCCUUCCUUCUGGUAUCUUAAAAGAUCUUUUUAAGGACUUGUAAUCUACCCUGUAUCGUGCUGUAGGAAUCAUCUUUCAGAAAUAGGGAUUUAUUGAUUUUACAAAUGUAUAACUUUUUUUUUUUGCCAAGUACUAGAUUAGCUCCUGGAAUUACAAAAAUAAAUGUUGAUACUUUCCUUUGAGAAAAAUAUUAAUGAUACUACGCAGUUGUCAUUUGCUAGAACUUUUUUUAGGUUCUAGCCGCUUCAUGUAUUAUCCUGCUAAUUGUUCUUCAGCAUAGAUAUUAUUAGCCACUGUACAGAUUAGCAAAUGAAGUCUCAGAGUGGUCAUACAUUGAUUCAGUAGUCAAAGGUGUGUGAGGAUACAGGUUAAGGGGACCUCAGAGAGCACAGAGGUAGUAUCUUAGUUUCUUUCUUGUCACUGAGAUACAACCUGACGUCCACAACUGUAAGGAACAAAGGUUUAUUUUGGUUCACAGUUUGAAGAGGUUUCAGUCCAUAGUUUCCUGGCUCCAGGGCAGGGCAGCAUGGCAGAGGAGAAAGAGCUCACGAUGCGGCAGCCAUUAAACACAGAGAGAGGGAUCAAGGGAGGAGGAGGGCAAAGGACCCUUCCAGGCCACACCCACUGUGACCCACUUCCUCCCCACCAGACUCCACUUCCCAACAUCACCGUUAGCUGUAAGUUAUCCAUGGACUAAACCACUGAUGAGGGUUGUGGCCCCACGAUCCAGUCACCUUCCUAAAGCUGCACCUAUGAGAGCUUGAGGCUUUGGGAGACAUGUUGACACAAGCAAUUAUAGAAGAAAUAUCUACUUUAGAGUUGGAAGAUUGGCAGCAUAGGCUUCACAGAGAGGCUGUUGCCUUAACUGGAUAUUUUAAGACUAUUAGGAACUUACGCAAAAGUGAUAACCCAGUAGGAAAUGGGUGUAGGGCGUAGUUGUGCUUGUAAACAGUCUUUAACAAAAGUAUGGAGACCUUUUAUGGGAAAGCCAUAUCAGUUGGGAGAAGGAAAGCGAUUUAGUAGCUUACCUAUAAAGGCAUUAAGCCAGGCCAUCUCAUACGCAGUGCUGAGAAGCUUAGAAUCAUAGUAAAUGGUGAGAAUCAUUUUAAGUAGAAGAGUUAUUUGAUUAUACAAUGUGGAGAAUAGAUUGGAAGAAACUUUUAUGCAGUAAAAAAAGACCUAUUAGACUAUUGGUAUAAACCAAAUAAGAAAUACGAAGGUCUUGAGUGUGGCAGUGGGUUUUGAAGAGGAGAGAGGCAGAAUUGAAGGCUUUUGGGAGGUAGAAUUAAUGAAUUUAGUGGUCAAAAAAGUGAAUGGGAGAAAUGAUUUCUCAGGGUGCAGUCACAAUGUGAAGGUGAUACAUAAUGUUGGACAUUCUUUUUUUAAAAUACAGGAUAUUCUUAAUAAGCACUGAGUAAGUAUUUGUGUAAACUGCUCCCUAAGUGGUCUCCCAGCUGUUUGUGAAAGGGUGUUACUUUGGCCCAGUGGGAAUUAAGACUUUUUUUAAUUUAUCAAGGAUUUGUUGAAUGCUCAAAGGCCCAGGACAAUUUGGGUACUGCAAGACAGAGCACAGUAGACUUUGUAAGACUUAUCUCUUUAAUUAAAUCUCUUCAGUUUAAAUGGCUUCAAGUAUCUUUUCCUAUCUUUUAGUUUUGAAAACAAACUGAUAAUCUUGUUAGAUCCAGCAAACUUGUGUUCUUUGUUGUGGUUUAUAAAGAAUGAUAUUUGCGGGGCUGGGGAUUUAGCUUAGCGGCAUAAGCGCCUGCCUUGCAAAUGUGCGGUCAUGAGUUCAAUCCCUGGUACCGAUAAAAAUGGAAAAAAAAAAAAAAAAAAAAGAAUGAUAUUUGCAGUUACCUUGGCCUGGGAAAAUAGUAUGGUUCAUAAUAUAGUAGAGACCAGAUCUACCAUUUAUACAUUAAGGCCAGUAUUAGCACAGUUAAUGCUCACAAAAUGCCAACACAAAGCAGUUACUUGAUAGUACCUUCAUUUUACAGAUAGGAAAACUGAGUCCCAGAGAUCUGCUUAUGGUCACAUAGCUAGGAGUUGAAAAGGCAAGGUUUGAAUGUAAGUGGCUGCAUUUAUCCUGAACCUUAAGAUAAAGGUCCCAAUUUAGAAGAAUGUACUCGUGAAUGGUCAGCACAUACACAGGAGUGAGUGGAUAUGAUAGCUCAACAUAAAACUCUAGGGAAGAAUGACUCAGCUACGGUUUAAGGAAAUUGAUAUUAAUGGGCUGGCCGGAAGAACAAGGAAUCACAGGAAAUGGAGAAGUAACCAUGACAUAUGAGAAUGUUGAAUCCUGUUAGCUAAGGUAGGUGUACAAAUGGCAAAUGUCUCAGUGCUGUUAACUGAGUAGAAGAGAAAAAUUGUGUAAAAUAUAUUCAUAUGCUUUAUAAAUACAUUUUGCAUAAAAUGAGUACAAAGUCAUUUGCAUUUACAUACAUUAUUUGAUUUAGAAAUACAUUCUAUAAAUACGGUUCCUUCAAAUACAGUAUCAUAUUACAUGUUCAUUAUAUAUGGAAGCCCCAAACAAAGAGAGUACAGCUGUUUUAAAAAUUAUUAGACAUAAAUGCAAAGCAUACUUGAGAGAUUUUGAGAUUAUUAGGGAAAACAUUUAAUGUGAAACGUUUUGGUUUAAUUAUUUUGAGGUGUAAUCACGAAAGGUUCAGUACUGAAAUUGUUAAAUCAACCUGUGGAACAGUGAAACAUGACUGAUAGAAAAUGUGUGAGGACAAGAUGAUUGCUUUGUGAAAUUUUAAAUGAUGCUUUCAGUAGAAAUCAUAUAAAUCCAUUGUGGCAAAGGAAAAAACUGAACAUGAUAUACAAAAGUAAAGUUUUAAAACUUUGCUAUAGAGUCAUAUAUCUGGACAUCUCUUUUUUGUUUUAGUACUGAGGAUCAAACUCAUGACCUUGUGCUUGCCAGGCAGGACUUGUGCUGCUGAGCUAUAUCCCUGGCCUGUCUCCUUGUAUUUUUGCCACAAUUUACUAUCUAAAAAUACUUCAUUAGGUUGGGCUAUAUAGUAAUACAGUAGAAAAUAUCAUCUAUGAUAGGUGACAGCAUAAUUUGACUUUUAUUAAUAGUCAUGGAAAGUAUUUUGUUUGAAAAUAUUUUUAGAAAGCAUUUAUAUGAGAAAACAAGCAAUGUUUUAUAAACCUGUAAUGCAGCUGACUGCGUGUGAUAGUGGAUACUUUGAAAAUCAUGUCAGUAUCUAGGAAACGGUCAGAAUUCCACAGCUUGUAUACUUCAGAGUUUAUCCUCAGUAUUGUUGAAUUGAACCAUGAUGUGGCAUAAAGCCUGGAUUAAGCUUUGUUGCGAUUCAAACAUCCCACCAAAACUUUUUUUUUGAAAAAUAAAACAAACUAUUCAUAUGGCUUCUUGCAUGAAUGACAGUUUUGACAUGACCCUUUGCUUUUCAUAUAGUAAAUAUUUGUUGAAUUGGACUAAGCCUUUCAUUUCUCUAAAGUACAUGAAAAUUGGGCAUAACCAAUGAUAUCCUUGGAACCAUGAUGAAAGUUAAAAUUAUUUUUUAAGUGUACCUUAUUUUUUCAAGUAGCAUGUUUUUUUCUAGUUUUGAAUGCUGUGUUUUUGUUCCGAAUUUGGAAAACACAUAAAGAUUAAAUAAAAAACUUAAAAUCACUGGUAAUUCGAUGACUAUAAUACUCAUAUUACCAUGCUGUGUUCUCUUUCAACUAAUUUAUCUUUUUAAAAUGCAGCCAUGCAUUUCAGGUCCUAACACACCUGAAACCCUGUUUCAAAAAGGCCAAAAAAAAAAAAAAACAAAAAAAAAAAAAAACCCAAAA
Molecule: long non-coding RNA, 62073 nt
Organism: Cavia porcellus (domestic guinea pig)
Lineage: Eukaryota; Metazoa; Chordata; Mammalia; Rodentia; Caviidae
Exons: 2
Source: RefSeq, a predicted model, not a curated record